CCCCACCCACUGCUUGCUAGAUACUAGUAAGACUUGAUCCAUAAAAAUUAACUCUGCAGGUUUCCAGAGUUCGGGUUUGACGGUCCCUUGCAUCUCCUCUCCAUCCAGAAAGAUACUCAGUUGGAGGGAAUGAAAGGUAAUACCUUUAAAUGCAAUCGAUUUCAUCUUAAAGAUGAUUGAAAUCGAAUUUUGUUCCCCAACAAACCCAAUCUUCCAGAUCUCCUCCGAGAUAUCCACUCGGAAUUCCAUUAUCAUACAUCGAUGGUGUGAUGAAAAUCGUCUUCCCGUAUCUGUCCGAACCUUGAUUUGACCAAGAAUCCCUUCGAUCCAUUCACCGUUGGUAAUCCCCGGAUCCCAUCUUCGAGAAAACAUGAAACCCUAAAUCGCCUUGCUCAUCGCCUAUCGGUUCUGUUUUAAUGAGUUUGUUGAUUUGUAGGUAUUGAAUAAAAACUUAAAUCAAUUACGCAAUAAAAACUUAAAUCAAUUACGCAAUAUUAAAAUUAAUUUGGUUAAUUGAAAGGUAUAAUGGUAUUAAAGAGAAUAUAAAUCUUAUUUAUUUAAAUAAUCAUCUACAAAUCUUAUUGGGACAAACUUAAGAUAAAAGUGUCAACAUGGACACUAUUUACAUAUAUGUAUCAUUUGAACCCAUAUGUAUCCUGGGUAUACAACGUAAAUUAGCAUUUCUUAUAUAUUCUAACACAGCUAUAUUUCGAAAUGUUAUAAUCAAGAAAGAUGUCUUUAGUAUACAUACAGCUUGAUAACGACAUAUAGCCACAACGUAGUGAUAUACCUUAUCUAUAUUUUGUGCCAUAACAUGUUCUGCCUUUUACCUUAUGUGGCGCUUAAAGAAGAAUAUGUUUCUCAUAUACUCUACUGUGUUCAGCGUAAGCUAGGAUAUAUAUUCUAGGGAAAUCCGGAAAAUAUGGAAGCUUCCAUAUUCGGUUAAAGAUGUUUCAUAAAUCUAAACUAAAUCUUCCCUAAUUAUCUCAUAGAAUAUUUUCUCCCACGUUUUUCUCCUUCUUCCAUGAUCUUUUCUCUUCGUUCAUUGUAUUUCUCUCUUCUUCAUCGACAUAAUCAUCUCUUUUCUCUAUCAAUACAACAUGAUUCUAAUUUAUGUUAAAUAUAGUGAAUGGAUGUCUAGUUGCAGUGAAGAGUGGACUUUCGUGGUAGACAAAGAAAAGCGGGGUCAAAUGGUAACAUUAGAAACUACUACUUCAUUGGAGAAGCUUAAGAUGAUGGUGUAUGAAGAUUAUGGGAUGGACCAUAAUGUUGUUAAUGUCGAGUUCAGUUAUUCACUGUUGAACUCUCCAACAGGCUAGUCAUUAACAGUCAGAGGCUAAAACUCACAUGGGGAAGAUCUCACAUCCCAAAACAUGGUCAGUAUGGCUGGAAGUACCAACAAGGCAGUGUGGCUCAGAGUGUCUUACUAACUCCACCAAUGCAGCAGCAAUAUUAUAUGCACCCAGCACCACCUAACCAGGACAAACCUUAUUACCCAUCAAUGGAUCCGCAGAGAAUGGGUGGUUCAAGCAGCAGUGAGAACAACAUAGCUUACAUGAUGCCUCCACGACAGCCAUAACACUCCACCAUAUUGACAAAAUAUAUGUUGUUGAUCAUACUUAAAUAUGUAUUUUUUUUUGUGUUGAGACCCCAAAGAAAAACUAUCCAAAAGAAAUUAGAUUACUCAAUCUUAAACUGUAAUUAUUUCAAUUCACAUAAAUUUCAAAAUCGAUUUCUACAUAGCUGUAUUUUACUAUUUAAAUUUUUGCAAUUAUUUCAAUUCACAUAAAUUUCAAAAUCAAUUUCUACAUAGCUGUAUUUUACUAUGUACAUUUUUGCAUGGAUCAUUAUAUAUGUAUCAUUUGAACCCAUAAUUUUAUUUAGUUUCAAUGUAGAAUAAUUGUUUAUAUUUACCAUUAAAGUAAGCCCAAUUGUUCUAUGUACGAGUUUGAGACCAACGUCGUUUACCCGCAUGUAGAAUUAACAAUUUUGCACUAAAGAAAAUCAAUCCUUGACCUAGACCGAGAUCACUACGAUGUGGUUAUUAACAAUUGUUCUUUCGUGUAUACUUUUAGUACUUGGUUCUGGCAUAUGAUAUAUUGAUUGAAUUUUGAAUUUUUGAGCAUUGAUUAAAUGCAGUUAAUAACUGCAAACAUGUAAUAAGAUGUCUUAUGAUUUCGUUUUCUUUUUUAUCAUUAACUUGGGAAUAUUACGGAUUAACGAAAGGGUCAAGACUAAUUUUCAAAUGGAGAUACAGUCUACAGAUGAACACUCUUUCUAAAUAUUCAAAUGGGAUUUAAUCAAUGGAUCCAUAUCUGCAUAACUACAUGUAGAAUUAACAAUUUUGCCGUGAAGAAGAAUUGUUCCAUGGUCUAGAGCAAUAGGAUAACUUCUCGGGCAGUGGAAACCAUAAACUACCACAACGUGGUUCAUUAUAGAUUUUGUUUUGAUGCAUAUACCUAAAAUCUAAUUCUGUUUGUAUUUUAUUAGAGAAAAAGUGAAGUGAAGCAAAGAUAAUGUAAGGAAAGAGACGAGGGAGAAUAAAGUAAGAUUGGAAAUGUGAACCCAUUUGGAGUUGGCAGUGAGUGAGAUGGAACAUCACAUGCACUGAUGCUCUCUUUUGUCCCUUUCCUCUUGGAGCUUUCAUUUCUCGAAACCCUUCUUCUCAUUUGUUUCCUUGUCACUCUAAUCUUACCCCACUUAUUUAAUUCUUAAAGGUUCUGUAUUUUAUUUUCUCAUGCUAUUCAUGACUUAGUAAUGAUGUGAUAAUUUGAUCUACUACGCUUAAAGUCUCAAUUGUGGCAAUUAUGUUUGGACAUAGUGGCAAUUUCAGAAAAUUCUGCAUGAUUGUUUCCAUUAAUAUCGUAGUCACCCAAACCGACGUGAAUUAAUAUGUAUCAAAAAAACUUGUAUGAUAUCUCCCUUUGAGUGUGGAAACUUACACAUUUUGAUUUUUUUAAACUAUAUUUAUCUCUAUAUGUUCUCCAACGUUUUUUUUAAUGUUAAGUAUAUCUUCUCCAACUUACAUAUUGUUAUAUCAUUGAAUGUAUCAAUUAUCUCUAACAUUCUCCACCUUACUAAAAUAUUAUAAGCAGUCUAUUGAAUUAUUACUAACAUGUCAAAAGGUGCAACUAGUACUAUUAUAGGGGGAGAGUAUCAUAUAAUAUUCAAACCGACGCGUAUAAACUAAAGUGAGUUUGGAUGAUAUAUGCGUAUAUAAUAUGGUUGUUGGAAUGUGCAUAAAAUUAUACUAAUAAAGAAGAGUUGGAAGUGGGAUUACUAAGGUGAUGUGGGUCUAGGGAUUCACUCCAAUUCCACAUUAUGCAAAGGAAUGUCACUUACCGUGAUAUGUGCUGUUCCUCGAUCUCUCUGAAAGAUUCACCUGUUACAUUCUCCUUUAUUGUCUCUAUCUUUUUCUUCUUGCAUUUUCAAUAUAUAUACUUUAAUUUUAUGUAAGUUAAUCGAUUAGAAGUCUAGAUUGUCUAGUUGACCCGUCUUGUUUAGAUAAAAGAGUAAAUUAGCUAAAUAUACUAACAAAGGUGGGAUAUCAUUGAAUGGGGGGAAAAUGGUAAUGUUGGGGGGAAGAAAAUUGGAGGGAUAUAGGGUAUGGAGUGCAAAUAGGGGAAAAGUGGUGUGUAGGGAGUACAAAUUCUCUAGAUAAAAUUAGGGCUUGGCACAAGACAACAUUUCCAUAAACAGUAAAUAUAUACCAUUUGCUUUGGUUCGUGCAAAUAUUUAAGGAAAACAUGGUCAAAUAUUUGUUCUUUUUUUCAACUAUUUUUUCAUGCUUUUAUACCAUACCUUUUUUUAAUACCAUACUUGAGAUUCAAUUCUCAGAAGAUGCACAUUUUUCAAAUUAUAAGUUGAACAAUUUAUCAAAAAAUUUUAAAGUCUUACUAGUAGAUUUUUCAUUGUGGUCGUGUGCUACCAAAAAAUUUUAUUCGUCGAAAAUGUCAUACAUACAAAAUUUCUGUCAGUCCAAGUGUUACAAAGAACUAUGUCUUGAAAUUGUUAUUGGUGAUAUUGUUCAUCAAUAAAUUAUUUUUUUGCAUGUAGUUAAUAAUCAUAUGUAAUAGAAAUAUAAAUUAUAUGAUGAUAUAAUUGACAAUUCGAUCAGUGUUAAAAGUUAUAUUUUAUUAAAUUGAUGCACACACCGUUUUCACAACACUAUUCAUAUUUUAAUUGCAUAAAUAUAUCUUUAAUGGUAUAUAACGGUAAUUUAUAAAUAAUUGUACAACUUUUUAUUAUUUGUACUAGUUUAACCAGUUUAAUAUGUAUAUAGCAUACUAGUUAGGAUAAUUAUAAUUUCAGUUGUAUUUUGGUUUAUAUAAGCCAAACUAUUUAUAUUUGAUUUUAUUAGCUAUAAUAUGUAGUUGUGGUUAUAUUUGAUUGUACUUGUCAAACUAACUUUUAUUUGAUUAUAUUUGUUGUAUUCAGUUUUUUUGGGUUUCAUUGUUGUGUUCAGUUGUACUCGAUUAUAUCAGUUUUCUUUGAUUCAUUGCAUUGCAUAUAUGGGGUUACCAUCGUCUAGCUUUUCACAAUUUUACAUAAUUAUUUGAUGUGAUAUUCGCCUAUAAAAAAUAAGUACAAAAAGAUGAGAAGAGAUGAAAACAACAAAUAAAGGACGAAAGAAAAAUACUGAUACAGUUGAUCCAACGUCUAAAUUUAAUAAGAUUUUCAUUCGCGAUUUAUAAGUGCAUAACUAUAUUAUUUACAAAAUUUAAUCUAAAAAUAAAAUUUUUAUUUUUAUUUGUAUAUCAUUAUGAUUAAAGUGAUAAAAAUAUUCAUAAUCUAAACUUAUAAAGUUUAAAAUUGGAAUACGCUUAGUUAGUUUGGAUAUUACAUUUAUAUUAAUUAGUUUUCAAAACUAAAUAAAAUUAUUUUUGCACCUAUUUUAUAAUGUUAAUAUUAUAGAAUUAUUUUUUUCGUUUUAAAAAAUAAAACUGAAAUAAGAUUUGUGAUAUUUUUAAUAGUAACUAAGAAUUUAAAUAGUUAUUUAAAUAAUAACAAUUUAAAGGUUUUCUAAAAUUUUGUUAUAGUAAACAAGAAAAUAAAUAAUUAUUCAAAAUAUCAUUUAAUCAUAAAAUGAUAUCAUGUGUAAUGACAUAUUGUAUUGGAAUUUUUAAUUUGUAAAAUAAUAACCAAAUGAUCUAUAAUGAAAUCUCUAGUCAGGUUUCAAAAAUUAGUGACAUUUAAGUAAAUCUCUAGUCAAACUAAAACGGAGUCAAUGUUAUGUUGAAUUUAUCUUUAUUUAAGUUAUGUCAAACACUUAAUCUAAUGAUUUCAAUGUCAUUUUAAUGAUAGUGCUUCUAUAUUUUAUUUUCUACCAAAUUAUAUAUGACAGUCUGAAUACUACAUAUCAACAUGCAUGAAUGAUUUAUUGCAUACAUAUAUGAUAUGUUAACUUAAGAUCAUGAAGUCGAUCAUCAAGAAUCAUAUGAAUUUAAACAUCAAUCAAAGAAUUAUAUUAGUGUCAUGUCCACCUAGUAGUAUCACAUAAAUGCAACUUUAUUUUCAUAUGAUGAUUCUAUUUUAAUAAGAUGGAUAAAAUAAAUUGGAUAAUAUUCAUAUAAUUACUUUUCAUGAUUAGUACAUAUAAAUGGUCAUAUGCUGUUGUUAUUGUGGUUGAAUCACUAUCCAUAAAGAAAAGUAAAAAGUAUUUACUUGUAAAAUAAUUAGACAUUUUAUUUUAUUUUUAGCAACACAUUUUAAUUUUGUGUGAACAUUAUAUAUUAUUCCAUAUACUUCCUUAAGAUGAAAUGUAUCUUAGGGGUUAAAAAAGCUAAUUGGAUUCUUUUUCCUUGUUAUUGAUUUAUGGUGAGAAGCUCAAGAACCAUAGGCAACAUCGAGAGAAAGAGGUCCUAUCCAUCAUCAGAGAGAAUCUCAUAUCGAUCUCCAACGUCUUCAUAUUGGUGAGUCAACGUCGUUUUCAACUAUCAUCAGUUGUUCUUUCGAACAAUAGUUUUUAGGUAUCAAGUGAAGCAUCUCUUUGGGGCCUUUCACUCUUUAAACACAUAUAUCUCUCUUUUCAUUGUUAUAGUUCUUGUUUGUCAGGUUACCGUUGAAUUUAUAUCCGGUUGUACUCAUUUAAACUGUUUCGGUCUCUAGAUUAAUAUAAUCAUUUCAUGGACAAAAACAAAUUUAUGGUGAUUCAGACUAAAGUGCUAGCUCGGCUAUCUCAGAUGUGUAAGCUUAUUGUGUACCAUCACCAAAAUUGCAAAGCCAAUUGAGCCAACAUAAACAUAUAGAUCUAUUAAGUGUGAAUUUAAUCAUGGACAAACUAGAUAAGAAAUUUAGUUUAUUAAAAGUAAUUCGGAUUCUAUUACAAGAAAAUGAAAUUGGGGAGUAUUUAGAUAAGAAAUUUAGUUUAAUAAAAGUAAUUCAGGUUCGAUUACAGGAAAUCUCUUACUUAUUAAUAGACAAACAUUUUAAUAGAGCAACUUUAAUUUUGUAGUCUAUUCACAAGUUUGCCAUUUAACUGAUGUGUCAUCACCACAUCUCUUCUCAACUCAUCAUUAAAAUGAUCCUAUAAUUACUAGACAUAUUACAUAAAUUGACAUUGGUAUCACUCUAAUACAUAUUAUAAUUUUAUACAAUAAUACCAUUUGAAGUAUUACCUAAAUGGAAAUAACUAAAACGUGACCUCUCAUCAUUUUCUUUCAAGUUUCUAAUAUCAACAUUAACCAACAUCAUCAAUUGCAAAAAAAAAAGAAAAAGUUUUGUAUUUAGAAGAAUCUAUGACAUUUGCUUAAUAACAAAUCUGUUGCUUAGCUAUACCUAAACAAAAUUCAAUUAGAACUAAGAAACAAUUUUCAAUAUUUUUCAGAAGGACAUGCUUCCUCUGAUGUGUCACUAUACCAUCAAGGUACGUGAUGUUUCUGAUGUUUCAAAAUUUUGAACAGACAAAUUCUGCAUAUAUAUAUAUGUCAUAUUUAUCUGAAACUCUAUACAUAUCUUAUAGUUUAACGGGACAAUAAUAUGAUAAACGGUUAAAACUAUACUGCAAAGAAAGUGAUAUGGGCAGGCCUCCGUAAAUUUAAGUUUCGUGAUGUACAACAAAAUUUUAGCAAAUUAGCGCUAUGCAAAUUUAAGUUUCUAUAAUUUUAAAUAUAUUUUGACCUUAUAAAACCAUAUAAUUUAUUGUCUGAUUCGUGAUGUGCAAUUCAAAUCUUUGAUUUUUAUUUGGGAAUUGAUUGUACUUAUUUUCCGUAAAUCUUUACCUUGAAAAAAGCAAGUAGGCUCCAAAUGGUAACUGCGGUUUGAGCGGUGCGGGACAAGCAGUUUAACUGCGGUGCGGUUUUAACAGUUAUAAAAACGUAUAAAUAUAUGGUAUAUGUAAAGAUUUUUGUUACUAUUAACUGCGGUGCGGGACGGGGCGGUUCGUAACAUUCGAAGCCAUAAUGUGUUUACAAUUUAGGUUGACUUAAUAAUAAACUUGAUCAAAGUCCAUUAUGAAGUUAUAAUGUACUUUUAUCAAAAUUAUAGUCCGGUUAGUUAAUCCAAUUUAGUCUUUUUCAGUAUAAAAUUCACGUUUUAAUUAAAAAAAAUUACAAAUUAAAAUAUUUUAUAUAACAAAUUAUAUUUGAUGUAAUGUUAUAUAUAACAUUUAUAACGUAAAAGUAGUCAAGACGGAUAUUUUUAUCCUAGUUAAAAUGGUAAAGCAGAAAUACGGAUUUGCUAAUUAUUAUUUAAUUUUAAGUGUACAUUAUAGGUAUUUCGAGUAGUUUAGACAUGCAUUCAUUUGCCUACACACUUUGACUGUUUCUUUCUGUAAAAGAGAAGAAAAAACUUGUAGAUUCCAAAAAUCGAUUAUAGUGAAAUCUGCAGCGAUUGAAAAUGGACUUAACUCUCACAGUAAAGAUGAUCCAUUAUAAAUUUUGUGUUCAGUUUUUUUCUUUUUCUGUUAUAUAUCAUCGGUUUUGGGAUCCAAUACUAAAUAAAUAAGCUCCACCAAACUAUGAACGUUUCCGCCAAUUCGUACGUGUUGUUUUACUGAUUUGAACAUCAUUAUAUAUUUAUAUAUGCGUGUUAAAUCAUAAUAGUGACAACUCAAGAAAAAAGGCAGUACAACAAUACAGCAAACAUGCGAUGACAAGUUGUACAUAUAAUGGUCGAGACCAUAAGAUAUCUGUAGACGAUUUUUGAAUACAGAUUAGGGAGGACCCGAAGUUGGCAGAUAAAGUUGGUAUACUAUUUCAUUUAGCAAUUUUUUAACAAUGUCUUGAAAUUUCAGAUACGAUUGAUUCAAAAUAAUUGGAUGGAUGUUUUCCUCUCCAAGGGAUUGAUAUAUUUCAGACGAUGGAAGUAGAUUUUUCUAACCAGUUUUUUUUCUUCAAAUUAUUAGGUAGUAAUUGGGAGCAAAAUUUUCUAAACAAAUAAUCGCAGAUUUUUUUGUUUUCUAUUUCUGCGUUAAGAAAAUAUGAUUUUUAAUUAAAAUUAAGGAAACUGAUCUUUUUUUUUUACAGAAAAUGAUGUUUAAAUUCUUGAUAUCUAAUUAUAUAGUUUAGUAAAACUAAUCAAGUGUAAGGACAAUUUCUAGUACAGAGGCAUCUUGAACAUCUAAUCUUAAUUAACAUCCAGUAGCUAUAUGUUAAGUACAACUAGAUAGAGAAAACCCUAGUGACAUCUAUAUAUACAUAAGUUAAUGAAUAGUGACACAAAUAACAAUAUUACAAAUAAAAUAUAAAAUACGGAGCUUAAAAAACAUCUGCCAAGAAUCUUUGUGCUGCAGUCUUUGAAAGUUAAAACAGUAAGUAAUAUAGCUUCACUAGCCAACAGAACUUUGUCUCUACACUGCUGGUUUCAAAAGGAUUCUCUUUUAAAGAAGUGAAGAAACAAAGAAAGACUACAAGAUAAAAAGAGCUUAAUCAAGAAAGAUAUGUUUGGCAAUUGUGACCAAAAGAAGAAGAUGCCUAUCAUCCAGUCUCCUAAUACAAAUCCACCGGUCUCUCUCUCUCUCUCUCUCUCUCUCUCUCUCUCUCUCUCUCUCUAAAUAAUAUUGACCCAUUUAUCUUUUGUUUCUUAGCUUUUGGAUCCGAAUAAUAUCCUUUUGUCCUCUCUUUGUUCUCUUGCCUUUAGUUAAACCACACAAUCUAAAAACAAAAAAUUCUCUCUUCCUCUCUUCUCAGGCAAGUAUGCAGAGCAAGAACAUGAUCGUUUCUCCGUCUCAUCAGCAGCAACCACCUCAACCGCAACUUAAAUGCCCUCGUUGCGAUUCAUCGAACACAAAGUUCUGUUACUACAACAACUACAGCCUCUCUCAGCCGCGGCACUUUUGCAAGGCUUGCAAAAGGUAUUGGACACGAGGUGGGACCCUCCGUAACGUUCCCGUAGGCGGUAGCUACCGGAAGAACAAACGUGUGAAAAGGCCAGCAACCACAACCGCAGCUUCCACGGCCUCGACGACUACUUCUUCAUCCCCUAAUAAUCCUCAUCAUCAGAUCUCCCAUUUCCCUUCCAUGAAUCAUCAUCCCUUGUUCUAUGGUUUAUCAGAUCAUGUGAGCAGUUGUAAUAGUCUUCCAAUGUUUCCAAGCCGUUUCAGUGAUCCUCCAAAGACUUCAAGUGGUUUAGAGGGUGAGUUUCCCUCAUCUGGUUUUAAUGGUCUUGGAUUAGGGCUUCCACAUCAUAUGAGUCAUGACCAAACCAUUAAUGGUAGCUUCAUCAACAGCUCUACAACAAACAAACCAUUUCUUCCCUCGAGUCUAUUUGGGUCGUCUGUAUCUUCCUCUUCAUCUACUCUUCUCCAGCAUGCACACAAGCCCAUGAACAAUAAUGGUGAGAUGAUGGGACAGUCCCAUCUCCAAACCCUAGCAUCACUUCAAGAUCUGCAUGUUGGAGGUAACAAUGAAGAUGUGAACAAAGAAGGAAAGCUUGUUGAGAUCUCCGGGGACAUGAAUGGGUUCAUGUCAUCAUCAUCCUUAGAUCCUUCAAACUACCACAACAUCUGGAAUAAUGCAAGUGUUUCCAGUGGAGCAUGGCUUGAUCCAACAAAUAAUAUCGUUGGAUCCUCCCUUACCUCCUUGAUAUAAACCAAAACUUAUUGGUUAUAACUAGCUAGGGUUUCAUCUUCAUCACUUUUUCUUUUCUGUUUUGAGAUGAGAGAAGAAGCUUGGAUCAGAGAGAUAAAAUCAACAGAUUAGGGAGGACCCGAAGUUGGCAGAUAAAGUUGGUAUACUAUUUCAUUUAGCAAUUUUUUAACAAUGUCUUGAAAUUUCAGAUACGAUUGAUUCAAAAUAAUUGGAUGGAUGUUUUCCUCUCCAAGGGAUUGAUAUAUUUCAGACGAUGGAAGUAGAUUUUUCUAACCAGUUUUUUUUCUUCAAAUUAUUAGGUAGUAAUUGGGAGCAAAAUUUUCUAAACAAAUAAUCGCAGAUUUUUUUGUUUUCUAUUUCUGCGUUAAGAAAAUAUGAUUUUUAAUUAAAAUUAAGGAAACUGAUCUUUUUUUUUUACAGAAAAUGAUGUUUAAAUUCUUGAUAUCUAAUUAUAUAGUUUAGUAAAACUAAGCCAGUGUAAGGACCAUUUCUAGUACAGAGGCAUCUUGAACAUCUAAUCUUAAUUAACAUCCAGUAGCUAUAUGUUAAGUACAACUAGAUAGAGAAAACCCUAGUGACAUCUAUAUAUACAUAAGUUAAUGAAUAGUGACACAAAUAACAAUAUUACAAAUAAAAUAUAAAAUACGGAGCUUAAAAAACAUCUGCCAAGAAUCUUUGUGCUGCAGUCUUUGAAAGUUAAAACAGUAAGUAAUAUAGCUUCACUAGCCAACAGAACUUUGUCUCUACACUGCUGGUUUCAAAAGGAUUCUCUUUUAAAGAAGUGAAGAAACAAAGAAAGAAUACAAGAUCAAAAGAGCUUAAUCAAGAAAGAUAUGUUUGGCAAUUGUGACCAAAAGAAGAAGAUGCCUAUCAUCCAGUCUCCCAAUACAAAUCCACCGGUCUCUCUCUCUCUCUCUCUCUCUCUCUCUCUCUCUCUCUCUCUCUCUCUCUCUCUCUCUCUCUCUCUCUCUCUCUCUCUCUCUCUCUAAAUAAUAUUGACCCAUUUAUCUUUUGUUUCUUAGCUUUUGGAUCCGAAUAAUAUCCUUUUGUCCUCUCUUUGUUCUCUUGCCUUUAGUUAAACCACACAAUCUAAAAACAAAAAAUUCUCUCUUCCUCUCUUCUCAGGCAAGUAUGCAGAGCAAGAACAUGAUCGUUUCUCCGUCUCAUCAGCAGCAACCACCUCAACCGCAACUUAAAUGCCCUCGUUGCGAUUCAUCGAACACAAAGUUCUGUUACUACAACAACUACAGCCUCUCUCAGCCGCGGCACUUUUGCAAGGCUUGCAAAAGGUAUUGGACACGAGGUGGGACCCUCCGUAACGUUCCCGUAGGCGGUAGCUACCGGAAGAACAAACGUGUGAAAAGGCCAGCAACCACAACCGCAGCUUCCACGGCCUCGACGACUACUUCUUCAUCCCCUAAUAAUCCUCAUCAUCAGAUCUCCCAUUUCCCUUCCAUGAAUCAUCAUCCCUUGUUCUAUGGUUUAUCAGAUCAUGUGAGCAGUUGUAAUAGUCUUCCAAUGUUUCCAAGCCGUUUCAGUGAUCCUCCAAAGACUUCAAGUGGUUUAGAGGGUGAGUUUCCCUCAUCUGGUUUUAAUGGUCUUGGAUUAGGGCUUCCACAUCAUAUGAGUCAUGACCAAACCAUUAAUGGUAGCUUCAUCAACAGCUCUACAACAAACAAACCAUUUCUUCCCUCGAGUCUAUUUGGGUCGUCUGUAUCUUCCUCUUCAUCUACUCUUCUCCAGCAUGCACACAAGCCCAUGAACAAUAAUGGUGAGAUGAUGGGACAGUCCCAUCUCCAAACCCUAGCAUCACUUCAAGAUCUGCAUGUUGGAGGUAACAAUGAAGAUGUGAACAAAGAAGGAAAGCUUGUUGAGAUCUCCGGGGACAUGAAUGGGUUCAUGUCAUCAUCAUCCUUAGAUCCUUCAAACUACCACAACAUCUGGAAUAAUGCAAGUGUUUCCAGUGGAGCAUGGCUUGAUCCAACAAAUAAUAUCGUUGGAUCCUCCCUUACCUCCUUGAUAUAAACCAAAACUUAUUGGUUAUAACUAGCUAGGGUUUCAUCUUCAUCACUUUUUCUUUUCUGUUUUGAGAUGAGAGAAGAAGCUUGGAUCAGAGAGAUAAAAUCAAGGGCAAUGUUGUUCUUGGCCACUAUAAAUCUCCCUCGGAUCCUCUUCAUCUCACCAUCUCCAUCAUUUUCAUUCGCGUUGUUCAAGAAAAACAAAAGGGGCUCAAGAUUGGUUCAAGGUUUACUAUGGUUGACUGUUAAGUUCACCCAAGGUAAAUUAUACUUGUAUGUACAUAAUAUGGUCCUGACUUCUAUCAUCUUUUCUUUUCAUCUAUGUAAUUCUGAGGUCCACCACAUGGGUUGGUGUUUCUUUUCACUGGGAUUAGGAGGGUAUAUUUGGGUUAAUUUGAGUUUCUCAUGGGGCCGGAGAACUCAAUAGUUUUCAAGUUUUAGAUUUUUUUUGUUUCACUUUUCUUCGUUGGUAUGGCUUUCAUUGGGUAUACAAGCAGCGGGAGGAAUGGUGUUUUGUGUUGCUAUAACUUUGGUUAUUCACGUAUGAGUUAUGUUAUUACGGUUCUUUUGGAUGCAUGUCUAUGUAUAAUAUUAUAAAUAUGUUGUUAUCACGAUAGAUAUGGGACGAAUAUACAUGUGCAUUACUUGGAUUGUCCUAACGGAAAAUGUCCUUUGGCUAAUGUCAACUGGGAGAUUCAUGAAUAUGAAAUAAACUCGCACAAACGUCGUCAGUGGAUACAAUUAGUAUACUUAGACCGACAAAGCGGACAAAUAUUGUAGAUAUUUUAUUCAUAUAAAAUACUGCUCAUAUUCUUAUGUCAUAUUGAUAAUUUUGUUCUCUAGCAUUUUGGCUACAAGCCUUACAACUCAUGGUUCCGUGUAUAUUACAACCGAGACAUAUAUAUAUGAGCACAGAUUUGGUCCAGGCCUGGAGUUUAGUGAGGUGUCUUUGUAAAGUGGGCACGAGUUCGUUACCAGUUUCUUCAUGUCAUGUUCUCAGAAAUGAUUUUCGUACAAGAGUUGGAGACUAUUAUUCUAAAACAUUGUACUGUUUGGACACAUGGACUUUUUAUCAAUUUUUUUGCAGAUAAUCUACGGAUCAAAAUUCAAUUAUCACGCGAUUGCACAAAAUAUCAUGAUUUUACGAUCGAUCUCAUCUGAAAGUCCUAUGUUGAGAAGUAUGGGCUAUUUGGAAUGUGUCUGCCCCGGUUAAUGGUUGUUGCAUCUCCAUCUUUGUAAUUAUGGAUCAGGUGUUGAGGAUUGCACACGAUUGUACAAAGAUAUAUAGUGUGCAUCAUGGGUUGUUGGCGACAAUAGAAGCUUGGUACUCUGCCAUAGCCAUCUAUCCUUUUCUCAGAUAAUGUCUUGUUUCGAUUGGAAAAUCAAAAGUUGGGAAGGCUUCUUGGAUAGUAUGAGAAGCUUGAAACUCAAUAAUAUUUUUGGAAAUUAUCAAAGCGUUGCACAAGCACUUAGACUAGCAAGUUUUCAUGGGACAUACUGCGGGUGUGAUUUACUCUCAUAGAAGCCCAAGUUGGGUAAGAUAUUUCUUUUCAGGAACCCAAAGUGUAGUUUAGGAUAUAAUCUUAUAAAUUCGUAUAUGGCAUAAGAAUGCCCUGUUGGAUGAAUGAAUUCCUUGAGAAGGAAAGUUCAGUCACCAUAGUUGCAUUCACCCUAACUCAAUUCAGUUCACAAAACUCAGUUCAACGAACCAAGUGGUGGUAUUCUAGUGGUAAUCUCUUGGGGCUCAGCGUGUAUCCACCUGGUAGUAUUAUAGUGGUAAUCUCUUGGGGCUCAACGUGUAUCCACGUUGAUCCUGAAUUGAUUCUUUCUGGAAACUAAGUUAUCAUUAUUUAGCUAAUGUGGACUUGGGCUUUGGUCCAGGUAGUUAACAUGGUGGAUCGUAACAGAUGAUCGGUUCUAAAACCCUAGCUGUCAAGAGAGAGAGAGAGAGAGAGAGAGAGAGAGAGAGAGAGAGAGAGAGAGAGAGAGAGAGAGAGAGAGAGAUUUUUAAUAGUUUCAAGCCAAUGACUGGAGGCUUCUAUAGCUCCGACAUCGGCUCGUUUGAUUCGUUUUGCUUUUUUGUUUCUUUGUUUUGCUUUACUUCAUGUAAUUUGUUUUUUUAUUGUCAAUUAAUUUAAAUCUGACAAAGUUUUUAUUGUUCCUUUGUAUGUUUAUUCCAAUGGAUUUGGUAAGACAAAAAAAUUUGGUUCAAUUGAACCGUUUAGAAAAGUUAAUUGACAAAUCUACUGCGGAUGGCCGAUGGGUCUUACCGGUGAUGGGUGCUUGCUGCAAACUAUGGUUACUUUGAAAGGCAACAAGACAUUCUAUUGAACAGUAGUAAUCUCUUCGAAUCUGUUAUUAUCAAUAGAACAAUAUAAAGAGUUGUCUUGUCUCGGUGACUCCUACUGGAGUAUUAAAAUGAGAGUGGUGCUUAUGGAUUAAUAUGAAGAUUAUCUUCCUUAAAAUUCAACUAUUCCAAAUGCAAUUAAAAGCAUCUCCAAUGGUGUUACCACCAUUAGAGUCCUUAUCAUUAUUAAACUACUUUUUUUUAGAAUAAUUAAGGACUCUAAUCAAAAUUGUAUGUCCAAUGGUGUUCUCCAAUUUGGAGUCCUUAAGAAUAAAAAAUAUUAAAUUUUAAAACAUGUUAAAUCUAAAAUUUUAUUUAUUACAUGAUUAAAUAUAAAGAUACAAUAAUUAUUAGUCUUCAUCACCAAAUUUGUUCCAAAUGUUUUCAAUUAAAUCAUUUUUCAAUUGUUCAUGUAUACGCCUAUCGCGAACAUGAUUCCAAAUGCCAAGCAUAUUACUGAGAUUUGAAGGCAUGUCGGUACUAUAAGACAUAUCCACCCGAGAGCUUUUUUUCCUCUUUCGUGUCGCAAAUGAUUUUUUUUUUCAAUCCGGAAUAGAUACAAGACGGCACCAAUCAGACGCGGCCACGUCUCUAAGGACUAAGUCCUUAAACCCCUUAUCUACGUUCCAGUCCUUACGAAACUUACCUUACUUAAUACUAUUUUAUUCUGAUUAAUCUAGGUUUAUGUGCUAAGGAUUGGUGAAAAAUCACCGUUACGGAUGCUUUAAGGAGCUUUUAUAUGAGAAAAAUUUAGUUAUCCAUACAAAAAAUAGAUAUGUUAGUUUAUUUUGAAUCCCUACUUGUGUAUCCUUUUUCUACAUUUGUUUUGUUAGUUCUCAUUGUUUAGAACUAUUUGCCUAGAAAGCUUAACAAUACAAUCAUGUAUAAAAAACAGAUGAUCGGUCCAUCACUUGGCAUUAGUCGGAAAUCAUUCCAAACUCGGACCAGACAGUAUAGUAAUCAGUUUACUCUUUAACACUAACUGUAUUUUUUCCGGAACUGACCGGAUCAGUCGAUAUGUAUAUCAAACAAAAAAACGUGAUUCUGUUAUUGUAUGAUUUAGACUGAACAUGUGCUCUGUUUUAAGUAAAGUUCUUAUGCUGUUUUUCGAGUUUUGUUUAUGCUAUGUUUUUGGAGUAUCUAGACUUUGACUUCAGCUUGCGUGAGCUUUAUUGAAUUUCACUUUUGAGGGAAAAAACAGUACUUACUAGCUUCCACUUUUUUUUUGUCAUCUGAAGAUUAUAUUAAACGGGGUAAACUAGCUUCCAAUUUUUUAUUACGUGUAGUUUUUACAUUUUCAGGACUAGCUUCCACAUUUUCCGUAUAUCACCACAUUUUAGAUGACAUAAGCAAUGAAUAUGGAAACGAAAAAAAUACAUUUUGGCAUGAGAAAAAUGCUUAUUUUCUGAUUGUUCUGGAAAUGAUUUUAAAAUUAAAAACCUUAAAUACAAAGUACACACAAAAAGAAUGACGAGUUCAAGAUUUCAUACAAGUACUGCAUCCCAUACUAAUGCAAAGAUAUAAAUACUUAUGAAUUAACCAAAUGGUAAUAAUUAAUUGAAUUUUCUUUAUUGCUUAUAAAAUUUAUCUCAUUUUAUAAUUUUAUGUAUACGAAAAAUAAAUAAAAAUAUUAAAAAUAAUAAUAUGGUGUUUUAUUUAUUCGUGCAAUUUUAUAUAAAAAUAUGAACGGUUCACUUAUUUAUUUUUGGUGUACAUCAAGUUGCAGCUAUUCUUCAGAGUUAAAUUAGAACUGGUUUGAGUUGUAAAUAGAUAAAAUCAGAUUAAUUUUGUUAAAAUGAAUUGUGUCCAGAUUAUUUUUUAGUUUUGUAAAAUAUGUUUUCUUAAUUGUUUUAUAUUUUCUUAUAUAGUGUUUGAGAACAGUAUGAAAAAUAAACUAAAGUGUUAUCAGUUUUUACCCAAGUUUAGUUUGGAUUAACUAAUAAUUAUCCCCAAGUUUAAUUUUAAUCGUUCAAUUUGUUAUUUAGUUUAAAGUUAGCUAUAACAUAAAAAAUAUAUGAUUGGAUCAGUGAUCAAAGAUCAAUAUAUGAUCUACUUCUAUUAUUUAUCAUAACUUUGCAUCAUUUCUAAUUAUUUGAUAUAAUAGAUAUAGUAAAAAAAUGUUAACUAUUUUAUUUGAAUAUAAUUAUAUAUUGACAUAUUUUUCUUAGGAAAUAUUUUUAAAAAAUAUAAAUUUAUGUUAUUAAAGAAACAAAUAAUAAGGGAAGUUAUUAUUUCUUAUUAUUUCAAAUAUUAUAAGUGCAAAAGGAAACAAAAAAAUAAAAUAAAAAUCUUAGUAAUGGUAUUGUCCAGAAUAUUUUUAAUUCAUUAAGGAUAAUUGUAAUUAACUAUUCUAAAAAUUAAUACGAAAGCGACACAUAAAAUUGACUUAUAAUAAUAUUAUAGAUGUUAUCUUUUAUGACACAAAGACCACAAUACAUCAGGAAUUUUUUAUGGAUUCCCAACAGUUUGUGGUUUCAAAUCGAAUCAUGAUACUUCAUUGAAAAGCCAAGACGGAUUCCAGACAGAUUUUUCUGACGAAAAAUUUUAAUACCUGAUUCCAAACACUUUGUCUUCCCCAUUCGUGUUCCCUCUCUCCCGCUCUCUCUCUCUCUCUCUCUCUCUCUCUCUCUCUCUCUCUCUCUCUCUCUCUCUCUCUCUCUCUCUCUCUCUUCUCUCUCUCUCUAAAAGCACGAAACUCUCCUUUGUUGCCAUUCUCUAUCAAAAUUGUCUCCCUCUCUCCCAAAAUCAUCUCCAUUUUUAAUGAUAUUGUUAGAUCAUGUUAAAUUGUAGAUUUUACUGAUUUGGAAAUUAAUUUUAACUAUUUACACUUUCAUAUAUAUGAUUAACUAUCUUGAUUUUACUUAUUAUUUAGAAUUUGAGAGACAAUAGAAUUUCUAAAACUGGUUUGGGAGUGUAUGUUCAGUAAUCAGUUGAUUAUGUCUUAUCAAUACUUUUUUGAACUUGUUAUAUUUGCUUAUUGUUGAAUGUUUUGUUUUUGAACCAUGAAAGGUUAUUGAAUUAAAGAUUUUUGUAUUUCGUAUAUUUAUUUGGUCAUGUAUGAUUUUAAAUUUUGUUCGGAUAAAAAAAGUACUUUUUAGGUUUUAUGCGUACUUUUUGUAAUUUGGAUAUACAUACCCAAAAAAUACCGAAUCAGUUUUUUUUUUUUAAACUUUGAAUACAAAGGAACCAAAUCGAGUCAGAAUUGAUAAUAUUGGGGUUUUCUUAAAAGCCACACCCCUACUAAUCUGAACUGAUCAGAAUCAAUUUCUUUGUGGUUCCUAUUUGACUACUAGAAGUGAAAAACUGAAUAAUCUGAAAUCUGAACUAAUCGAACUGAACACAUAUCAGAAUCAAAUGUGCGUGCCUAGAUUAAAAAAAAAAUCUCUAUGUAAAAAAAAUAUGUUUGUUUGAAAAAAAAAAGAAUUUAAAGGAAAAUAAUCAAUAACUACCAGAGAUAGUAGAAGCUUGCAUACUACUUCAAGUUUUUGACGAGCGGGAUCACCUCCACAGAAAUGUUAUCGCCAUUCGCAACAACCUCUCACAAAAAAAUGUUUAAUUUGAUAUACUUAUAAUAAUUUUGUUAUUAUGCAAAAUUUAAAUGCUAAAUAAAACUAUUGUUUUAAAAUAUAGUUGUUGAUUAUUUUGGCUCUAACAAAGCGUUAUUUUAAUUAUAUGGAAAAAGCGACAAAAUAUAAACAUUAAUGGCAUUAAUUGAGUUUCUGCAAAAUAUGAAUUACGGUUAGUUAAAAAUAUUCAAAAAUUAAUACUGGGUCAAAUAUUUAUCCUUUCUAAAACUCUAUUGAUUUUUUCUUUUCAAAUUUUUAAUUCAAAUAAUUUAGUAUAUUAUGUAAACGAAUAAAUACAAUUCAAAAAUAUAAAUAAAAGGAGAAAAAUUGUAAUGACUAACUAAUUAAAAAUUAAAAUACGAAUGCCACUGAAUUCAGUCUCCCCAAAUUUUGAUAUACCAUUUCUAAAACCGAAUCAGUUUUAUUUUUUUUUUAAACUUUGAAUACAAAGGAACCAAAUCGAGUCAGAAUUGAUAAUAUUGGGGUUUUCUUAAAAGCCACACCCCUACUAAUCUGAACUGAUCAGAAUCAAUUUCUUUGUGGUUCCUAUUUGACUACUAGAAGUGAAAAACUGAAUAAUAUGAAAUCUGAACUAAUCGAACUGAACACAUAUCAGAAUCAAAUGUGCGUGCCUAGAUUAAAAAAAAAAUCUCUAUGUAAAAAAAAUAUGUUUGUUUGAAAAAAAAAAGAAUUUAAAGGAAAAUAAUCAAUAACUACCAGAGAUAGUAGAAGCUUGCAUACUACUUCAAGUUUUUGACGAGCGGGAUCACCUCCACAGAAAUGUUAUCGCCAUUCGCAACAACCUCUCACAAAAAAAUGUUUAAUUUGAUAUACUUAUAAUAAUUUUGUUAUUAUGCAAAAUUUAAAUGCUAAAUAAAACUAUUGUUUUAAAAUAUAGUUGUUGAUUAUUUUGGCUCUAACAAAGCGUUAUUUUAAUGAUAUGGAAAAAGCGACAAAAUAUAAACAUUAAUGGCAUUAAUUGAGUUUCUGCAAAAUAUGAAUUACGGUUAGUUAAAAAUAUUCAAAAAUUAAUACUGGGUCAAAUAUUUAUCCUUUCUAAAACUCUAUUGAUUUUUUCUUUUCAAAUUUUUAAUUCAAAUAAUUUAGUAUAUUAUGUAAACGAAUAAAUACAAUUCAAAAAUAUAAAUAAAAGGAGAAAAAUUGUAAUGACUAACUAAUUAAAAAUUAAAAUACGAAUGCCACUGAAUUCAGUCUCCCCCAAAUUUUGAUAUACGAUUUCUAAAACUAAAAAUAUUUGCUUUUCAAUGUUUGAAUUCAUAUUACUUCUAUGUUUAAUAAGGUAGUAUGUAGGGAUAAUUUGCAAAAUACCCUAUAUAGGAUUUGAAAUUUAAAAAUUGCAUUUUCUAAUUUAAUUUUUUGAAAACUACACUUCUUUAAUUAUGAAUUGACUUUUUUACCCAAGAUAUUUCAAUAAUUAAGAUAUUAAUUCGAAAUUAAUAUAUAAAUUCGAAAUUAAUAAAAUAAUAUCAAAAUAAUUUUGUUUAAGAUAAACAUGUUAUUUUAUUAUUUAUAAAAACAAAGAUAAAUAUGUGAAUUAUGAUUUGUUUUGACUUUAUCAUGAAAUUUAUACAAAUUUCCUUUUAUUUUUUUUCUUCAACUUAUAUAAACAAGUCACGUUGUUAAAAGAAAAAGCAAAUCACAUUUGUCUCCUACUAUCUUUUAUUUAGUUAUAUUGAAAUUUUGUGUUCGUUGGUUUGACAUAGUAUCAUGAUGGGAGGAUGAAACUUGCGGGUGUUAAAUUGACAGAGUUUGAACCGGGAAUGGAGAUGGAAAAGGAGGGCGAGCUGCCUUUGUCGAAAGUAGCAAUUGAUGAUAUCUUCUGAUGGAACAGGUUAAGUAGGAAAAAUACAUUAACAAAUGAGCAGUCUCAUCAUUCAAAAUUCAAGUUCUUUUAUCUUAUCAUUCCGCCAUUGCUCCUCAGUUACUUCCUAGUCACCUAACACACAAGUUCCACGUUUAUGAGGUUUUUGCAGUUGAGAGACUAGUACUAGUCACAAUAGUAACAAUACUAAAUAUUGCAGGACUUAUCCUGUGUCAACAUGACAUUGUAGUCCCUGAUUGUUACAACAUUUAUAAACUCCAAUAUUCACAUGAUUGUUUUCACACCUCCUUGAAGUCUUGUGUUUUUGUGCGUGAAUCUUCUCCACGUCUUCUUCGGUUGUCUCUACAACCGGAUAAUGCCUCCUUUCACUCAUAGGUAAGCAUAUCCUUCUUGUGGGUCUUAUACUCUCUGAAUAUGCAGCACACAUGUUUGCCUUUGAGUAGUAUUGAUGCAUCUUAUAAGUGUAACAAUCUCUUAGGUUAUAGUUUAACUACACCACCAUGCUGUCUUUUUGACUACUACUGUCUAGUUUCUACCAAAUCUAUGUUUUUAACUUCUUUAAAGGGUAACAAGUGUUGCAGAGACAAACGGUCUUGGACAAAGUAGGAGCUAAAGAAAUACAAAACAAAAAGUAGGAGCUAAAGAGUUCUCUCAUGGGAUCAAUCAGAUAAUAGUAUGGAACUAGAACGAGCAUUUACAAAUUUUGUGGUCUGCAAUUUCAGAGUCCAUCUACCGCAUAAACGACACUUGCGUCGAACUUGAACAGAAGCAGAGUUCUUCAAAAGGUGUAGAACAAAUGGAAAACAUAACAAAUGUUGUGAAAAUAAUCAACCUUAUUACAAAAUAAAACCAAAACAAUUACCAAAACCUAGAGUAACCAAAACCAAACAUUGCAAAAAAAAAUAUUGAUUUUUUCUUUUCAAAUUUUUAAUUCAAAUAAUUUAGUAUAUUAUGUAAACGAAUAAAUACAAUUCAAAAAUAUAAAUAAAAGGAGAAAAAUUGUAAUGACUAACUAAUUAAAAAUUAAAAUACGAAUGCCACUGAAUUCAGUCUCCCCAAAUUUUGAUAUACCAUUUCUAAAACCGAAUCAGUUUUAUUUUUUUUUUAAACUUUGAAUACAAAGGAACCAAAUCGAGUCAGAAUUGAUAAUAUUGGGGUUUUCUUAAAAGCCACACCCCUACUAAUCUGAACUGAUCAGAAUCAAUUUCUUUGUGGUUCCUAUUUGACUACUAGAAGUGAAAAACUGAAUAAUAUGAAAUCUGAACUAAUCGAACUGAACACAUAUCAGAAUCAAAUGUGCGUGCCUAGAUUAAAAAAAAAAUCUCUAUGUAAAAAAAAUAUGUUUGUUUGAAAAAAAAAAGAAUUUAAAGGAAAAUAAUCAAUAACUACCAGAGAUAGUAGAAGCUUGCAUACUACUUCAAGUUUUUGACGAGCGGGAUCACCUCCACAGAAAUGUUAUCGCCAUUCGCAACAACCUCUCACAAAAAAAUGUUUAAUUUGAUAUACUUAUAAUAAUUUUGUUAUUAUGCAAAAUUUAAAUGCUAAAUAAAACUAUUGUUUUAAAAUAUAGUUGUUGAUUAUUUUGGCUCUAACAAAGCGUUAUUUUAAUUAUAUGGAAAAAGCGACAAAAUAUAAACAUUAAUGGCAUUAAUUGAGUUUCUGCAAAAUAUGAAUUACGGUUAGUUAAAAAUAUUCAAAAAUUAAUACUGGGUCAAAUAUUUAUCCUUUCUAAAACUCUAUUGAUUUUUUCUUUUCAAAUUUUUAAUUCAAAUAAUUUAGUAUAUUAUGUAAACGAAUAAAUACAAUUCAAAAAUAUAAAUAAAAGGAGAAAAAUUGUAAUGACUAACUAAUUAAAAAUUAAAAUACGAAUGCCACUGAAUUCAGUCUCCCCAAAUUUUGAUAUACCAUUUCUAAAACCGAAUCAGUUUUAUUUUUUUUUUAAACUUUGAAUACAAAGGAACCAAAUCGAGUCAGAAUUGAUAAUAUUGGGGUUUUCUUAAAAGCCACACCCCUACUAAUCUGAACUGAUCAGAAUCAAUUUCUUUGUGGUUCCUAUUUGACUACUAGAAGUGAAAAACUGAAUAAUAUGAAAUCUGAACUAAUCGAACUGAACACAUAUCAGAAUCAAAUGUGCGUGCCUAGAUUAAAAAAAAAAUCUCUAUGUAAAAAAAAUAUGUUUGUUUGAAAAAAAAAAGAAUUUAAAGGAAAAUAAUCAAUAACUACCAGAGAUAGUAGAAGCUUGCAUACUACUUCAAGUUUUUGACGAGCGGGAUCACCUCCACAGAAAUGUUAUCGCCAUUCGCAACAACCUCUCACAAAAAAAUGUUUAAUUUGAUAUACUUAUAAUAAUUUUGUUAUUAUGCAAAAUUUAAAUGCUAAAUAAAACUAUUGUUUUAAAAUAUAGUUGUUGAUUAUUUUGGCUCUAACAAAGCGUUAUUUUAAUUAUAUGGAAAAAGCGACAAAAUAUAAACAUUAAUGGCAUUAAUUGAGUUUCUGCAAAAUAUGAAUUACGGUUAGUUAAAAAUAUUCAAAAAUUAAUACUGGGUCAAAUAUUUAUCCUUUCUAAAACUCUAUUGAUUUUUUCUUUUCAAAUUUUUAAUUCAAAUAAUUUAGUAUAUUAUGUAAACGAAUAAAUACAAUUCAAAAAUAUAAAUAAAAGGAGAAAAAUUGUAAUGACUAACUAAUUAAAAAUUAAAAUACGAAUGCCACUGAAUUCAGUCUCCCCAAAUUUUGAUAUACCAUUUCUAAAACCGAAUCAGUUUUAUUUUUUUUUUAAACUUUGAAUACAAAGGAACCAAAUCGAGUCAGAAUUGAUAAUAUUGGGGUUUUCUUAAAAGCCACACCCCUACUAAUCUGAACUGAUCAGAAUCAAUUUCUUUGUGGUUCCUAUUUGACUACUAGAAGUGAAAAACUGAAUAAUAUGAAAUCUGAACUAAUCGAACUGAACACAUAUCAGAAUCAAAUGUGCGUGCCUAGAUUAAAAAAAAAAUCUCUAUGUAAAAAAAAUAUGUUUGUUUGAAAAAAAAAAGAAUUUAAAGGAAAAUAAUCAAUAACUACCAGAGAUAGUAGAAGCUUGCAUACUACUUCAAGUUUUUGACGAGCGGGAUCACCUCCACAGAAAUGUUAUCGCCAUUCGCAACAACCUCUCACAAAAAAAUGUUUAAUUUGAUAUACUUAUAAUAAUUUUGUUAUUAUGCAAAAUUUAAAUGCUAAAUAAAACUAUUGUUUUAAAAUAUAGUUGUUGAUUAUUUUGGCUCUAACAAAGCGUUAUUUUAAUUAUAUGGAAAAAGCGACAAAAUAUAAACAUUAAUGGCAUUAAUUGAGUUUCUGCAAAAUAUGAAUUACGGUUAGUUAAAAAUAUUCAAAAAUUAAUACUGGGUCAAAUAUUUAUCCUUUCUAAAACUCUAUUGAUUUUUUCUUUUCAAAUUUUUAAUUCAAAUAAUUUAGUAUAUUAUGUAAACGAAUAAAUACAAUUCAAAAAUAUAAAUAAAAGGAGAAAAAUUGUAAUGACUAACUAAUUAAAAAUUAAAAUACGAAUGCCACUGAAUUCAGUCUCCCCAAAUUUUGAUAUACCAUUUCUAAAACCGAAUCAGUUUUAUUUUUUUUUUAAACUUUGAAUACAAAGGAACCAAAUCGAGUCAGAAUUGAUAAUAUUGGGGUUUUCUUAAAAGCCACACCCCUACUAAUCUGAACUGAUCAGAAUCAAUUUCUUUGUGGUUCCUAUUUGACUACUAGAAGUGAAAAACUGAAUAAUAUGAAAUCUGAACUAAUCGAACUGAACACAUAUCAGAAUCAAAUGUGCGUGCCUAGAUUAAAAAAAAAAUCUCUAUGUAAAAAAAAUAUGUUUGUUUGAAAAAAAAAAGAAUUUAAAGGAAAAUAAUCAAUAACUACCAGAGAUAGUAGAAGCUUGCAUACUACUUCAAGUUUUUGACGAGCGGGAUCACCUCCACAGAAAUGUUAUCGCCAUUCGCAACAACCUCUCACAAAAAAAUGUUUAAUUUGAUAUACUUAUAAUAAUUUUGUUAUUAUGCAAAAUUUAAAUGCUAAAUAAAACUAUUGUUUUAAAAUAUAGUUGUUGAUUAUUUUGGCUCUAACAAAGCGUUAUUUUAAUGAUAUGGAAAAAGCGACAAAAUAUAAACAUUAAUGGCAUUAAUUGAGUUUCUGCAAAAUAUGAAUUACGGUUAGUUAAAAAUAUUCAAAAAUUAAUACUGGGUCAAAUAUUUAUCCUUUCUAAAACUCUAUUGAUUUUUUCUUUUCAAAUUUUUAAUUCAAAUAAUUUAGUAUAUUAUGUAAACGAAUAAAUACAAUUCAAAAAUAUAAAUAAAAGGAGAAAAAUUGUAAUGACUAACUAAUUAAAAAUUAAAAUACGAAUGCCACUGAAUUCAGUCUCCCCCAAAUUUUGAUAUACGAUUUCUAAAACUAAAAAUAUUUGCUUUUCAAUGUUUGAAUUCAUAUUACUUCUAUGUUUAAUAAGGUAGUAUGUAGGGAUAAUUUGCAAAAUACCCUAUAUAGGAUUUGAAAUUUAAAAAUUGCAUUUUCUAAUUUAAUUUUUUGAAAACUACACUUCUUUAAUUAUGAAUUGACUUUUUUACCCAAGAUAUUUCAAUAAUUAAGAUAUUAAUUCGAAAUUAAUAUAUAAAUUCGAAAUUAAUAAAAUAAUAUCAAAAUAAUUUUGUUUAAGAUAAACAUGUUAUUUUAUUAUUUAUAAAAACAAAGAUAAAUAUGUGAAUUAUGAUUUGUUUUGACUUUAUCAUGAAAUUUAUACAAAUUUCCUUUUAUUUUUUUUCUUCAACUUAUAUAAACAAGUCACGUUGUUAAAAGAAAAAGCAAAUCACAUUUGUCUCCUACUAUCUUUUAUUUAGUUAUAUUGAAAUUUUGUGUUCGUUGGUUUGACAUAGUAUCAUGAUGGGAGGAUGAAACUUGCGGGUGUUAAAUUGACAGAGUUUGAACCGGGAAUGGAGAUGGAAAAGGAGGGCGAGCUGCCUUUGUCGAAAGUAGCAAUUGAUGAUAUCUUCUGAUGGAACAGGUUAAGUAGGAAAAAUACAUUAACAAAUGAGCAGUCUCAUCAUUCAAAAUUCAAGUUCUUUUAUCUUAUCAUUCUGCCAUUGCUCCUCAGUUACUUCCUAGUCACCUAACACACAAGUUCCACGUUUAUGAGGUUUUUGCAGUUGAGAGACUAGUACUAGUCACAAUAGUAACAAUACUAAAUAUUGCAGGACUUAUCCUGUGUCAACAUGACAUUGUAGUCCCUGAUUGUUACAACAUUUAUAAACUCCAAUAUUCACAUGAUUGUUUUCACACCUCCUUGAAGUCUUGUGUUGUUGUGCGUGAAUCUUCUCCACGUCUUCUUCGGUUGUCUCUACAACCGGAUAAUGCCUCCUUUCACUCAUAGGUAAGCAUCUCCUUCUUGUGCCGAGUAGCCUUGCUCUGUUUCUUCCAACAUGCGGCCUCUCCCGUGUAGUCGUCUUUAACAAAAGACUCCACACCACUCUCGUUAAUGAGCCAGGGGUUAUGCGUUUAUCUUCUCUAUGGCGGGGAGUUUCAGUUAUAAGUGUAACAAUCUCUUAGGUUAUAGUUUAACUACACCACCAUGCUGUCUUUUUGACUACUACUGUCUAGUUUCUACCAAAUCUAUGUUUUUAACUUCUUUAAAGGGUAACAAGUGUUGCAGAGACAAACGGUCUUGGACAAAGUAGGAGCUAAAGAAAUACAAAACAAAAAGUAGGAGCUAAAGAGUUCUCUCAUGGGAUCAAUCAGAUAAUAGUAUGGAACUAGAACGAGCAUUUACAAAUUUUGUGGUCUGCAAUUUCAGAGUCCAUCUACCGCAUAAACGACACUUGCGUCGAACUUGAACAGAAGCAGAGUUCUUCAAAAGGUGUAGAACAAAUGGAAAACAUAACAAAUGUUGUGAAAAUAAUCAACCUUAUUACAAAAUAAAAACUAAAACAAUUACCAAAACCUAGAGUAACCAAAACCAAACAUUGCAAAAAAAAAAUCUAGAACAAACGUCUAGAACAGAACAAACUUCAAAUUCCAAAGUCGCAACUGACACGAUUGUGUCCUGAACGAUGACAUCUUGAGCAAGCUUGUUUUCGUGCUUUUUUUUUUGAGCUGUUGCUUGUUCUCCAAAGCAUUCAUAUCUUCUUUUCACAGGUCUUCCAGCACCUCUUUUAACAUCUGGUGGAAGACAUUUAUAAGCAACAAUAUGAGGAGGUAUUUCCUUCACGUCAUGCAGCUCAUCUAUAGGUCUUAUACUCUCUGAAUAUGCAGCACACAUGUUUGCCUUUGAGUAGUACUGAUGCACAAAUAACCCAGGGUUCAAGCCUCGACUUGUUGCAGCCUUAGCAGCAUGCUUACAAGGGAUCUUGUCAACGUUAAACACAUUACAUGUGCAAGUCAUUUGUUGAAGAUCAACCAAGUAAUUUCUUGACCCAUCAGUAACCUGAAACUCAUGUUGAUUUAUUGACUGAACAUCAAAAGUAGACGCCAAAUCACACCUUCUAUUGAGCUUCUUUUCAACUUUAGGCGUGAGAGAAGAUUUGAGCAUCACAGCACUUUCUCGAUGGUUGAAAAAUCACCGUGUAAGCAGAAUUAGAAAUUGAAAUCUGAUUGAUGAAUCAACAAAUCUCUUGAGCUGAGAGGAAGAAUCUGUAAAACUAGAGAGAAAGGAAAAAAAAUUCAGAAAUUGAAUGGAUAUGAGAAGAAGACGAGAAGACGAGACUAGUCUUGCGUUCUUUAAUUUUUUUUCAAAAUAAAAAAAUAAACUUAAGAUAUAUUAAAAAUAUAUGGGAAAUAUAUUGUGUAGUAUAUUAAAAAGAUAUUCCCUAUUCUCUAACGAUUUUCUUUUAAAAUAAUUUUAUAAAAAAUUGUUUAAUAGGAAUUGAUAAAUAUUAAGAUUGGGCAAUUUGGUAAAUUUAUAUAUAGAUAAGUGUAUUUUUCAGAAAGGUUAAACAAAAGUGCAUUUUUCAAAUUAUAUUUUAUUGAAGUGCAUUUAUCCAAAUUUUCCCUAGUAUUAAUUUAGUUGUGGUCAAUACUCAAUAGGAUAUUACAGUAUAUGUAAGGACGAUAGUGAAGUAACUCCAAAAAAAUACUCCCUCCAGAUUUGAAUAUAUGAUGUUUAAGGUUGUGCACACAUAUUAAGAGAAAUUAAAUACUUACUUUUAUCAAAUACUUUUGGGUUUUGCUUUUAGUUAGUUUAAAGAUUUAUUUGAAUCCCAAUAAAAUUCAACCACUUAUAUUUUUUACAUUUUGAUUUAUAUUUUAUUUUAAAAACAAAAUGCAUUAAUGAAAAGUAGAACUCUUGUCAACAUUAAACACAUUACAUGUGCAAGUCAUUUGUUGAAGAUCAACCAAGUAAUUUCUUGACCCAUCAGUAACCUGAAACUCAUGUUGAUUUAUUGACUGAACAUCAAAAGUAGACGCCAAAUCACACCUUCUAUUGAGCUUCUUUUCAACUUUAGGCGUGAGAGAAGAUUUGAGCAUCACAGCACUUUCUCGAUGGUUGAAAAAUCACCGUGUAAGCAGAAUUAGAAAUUGAAAUCUGAUUGAUGAAUCAACAAAUCUCUUGAGCUGAGAGGAAGAAUCUGUAAAACUAGAGAGAAAGGAAAAAAAAUUCAGAAAUUGAAUGGAUAUGAGAAGAAGACGAGAAGACGAGACUAGUCUUGCGUUCUUUAAUUUUUUUUCAAAAUAAAAAAAUAAACUUAAGAUAUAUUAAAAAUAUAUGGGAAAUAUAUUGUGUAGUAUAUUAAAAAGAUAUUCCCUAUUCUCUAACGAUUUUCUUUUAAAAUAAUUUUAUAAAAAAUUGUUUAAUAGGAAUUGAUAAAUAUUAAGAUUGGGCAAUUUGGUAAAUUUAUAUAUAGAUAAGUGUAUUUUUCAGAAAGGUUAAACAAAAGUGCAUUUUUCAAAUUAUAUUUUAUUGAAGUGCAUUUAUCCAAAUUUUCCCUAGUAUUAAUUUAGUUGUGGUCAAUACUCAAUAGGAUAUUACAGUAUAUGUAAGGACGAUAGUGAAGUAACUCCAAAAAAAUACUCCCUCCAGAUUUGAAUAUAUGAUGUUUAAGGUUGUGCACACAUAUUAAGAGAAAUUAAAUACUUACUUUUAUCAAAUACUUUUGGGUUUUGCUUUUAGUUAGUUUAAAGAUUUAUUUGAAUCCCAAUAAAAUUCAACCACUUAUAUUUUUUACAUUUUGAUUUAUAUUUUAUUUUAAAAACAAAAUGCAUUAAUGAAAAGUAGAACAUUAUGGGGAUGAUUGGUUGGGGCUGUAGAUGCUCUGGACAGCCAAAAUUUAGUCUACAGCUAUAUAUCUCAACCAAUCGAGCUUUGCUUUCCUUAAAAAGCUCACAGCAAAAUAAUCUCUGCAAAAUCAAAAUAUGGCUGUAGAGAGCUUUAUUUCCAGAGCAAAAAAAUAGUGCUUUAGAAAUCUACAGCAAGGAAAGCUACAGCAAAUAAAUCUACAGAUUAAAUUCUACAGCAAAAAAUAUAAAGCUACAGCACUUACCAAUCAUCCCCUAUACAUUUGUAUACAAGGGAAAAAACUAAAACAUCAUAUAUUCAAAUCGGGAGGGAGUAGUAAAGAGCAUUCAGUACUCUCUCUCUCUCUCUCAUAAAAACACAGCCAAUGACCUUCUCGUGGUCUUCUGUGCCAUAAAAAUCAUUAUAUACAUUCAAACACCAAUCUGGCGCCACACACACAUACUCUCUUCCUCUCUCUCCUUGUAUGAGUGGUGAGAUGGUUAUCCCUAUAAGGUGCAGCAUCGAACCAUCUGCAACAUUUUUACUCGUUUUCUUUUUGUGUGUUUUCCAGCAAGUGUCUCUUCUUCACUCUCCCCAACGACCCUCUCUUCCAUUCAUAACUCUUUCUCUCUCCGGGCAAAAUGGAUAACUUCUUGCCCUUUUCCUCUUCUAACGCAAACUUUGUCCAAGAACUCUCAAUGGAUCUUAACAACAAUCGCUCACGCUUAUCAACGUUCCCUACUUAUGAUCAUCAUCAUCAGGCGCAGCCUCACUCGUUGCAACCCUACUCAUAUGUUGCAUGUCCUGUGGAUCAGACGGCGGCUAUGAAUCCUCAGAUCCCGGUUACACAAACCGGAAGUGAGUUCGGUUCUCUGGUUUGUAAUCCCGGUUUCGGACAAGCAAGAGGUGGAUUUCUUGAUCCACACACGGCUAAGAUGGCCAGGAUCAACAGAAAGAAAGCGAUGAUAAGAUCAAGAAACAAUUCUAGCCCUAACUCUAGUUCGAAUGAGCUGGUUGGUUCAAGGAGACAAGUGGUUCUUACCAUGAAAAAUAAUGCCGAGAUAGCAGCAAGGAAAGAUCUCUAUCGAUAUCCCUCAUUCGAUAACAAGGUUUGUUCCAAAUAUUAGAUAUUUUCGAUUUUAUAUAUAUAUAAAACUUGAUCAAACGUUUUGGAUUUUGUGGUUGACUGUAGAAGCUUAGGGUUUUGUUGGUGAAACACUUGAAGAACAGCGAUGUUGGAUCACUUGGGAGGAUACUUCUACCAAAGGUGUGUAAAUUCUUACAAUUCUUUUAUCCAUCGUUUUCGUUAAGGUGUAAAGAUAAAAUAAAUUUUAUAGGUAAAACAUUAAUAUGAAAUAGUUAACUUUAAUAUGAAAUAGUUAUCAAUCACGUAACUACGAAAUUUGAAACCUCAAUUCCAUGGAAAAGUUUUAGAAAAGUAAUAUGGUUUCAGGAUUUGGCUGGCCCCUUUUUCAAAGAAGGUUUGUGGAACAAAAGUACAUAAGUCAUUGCGGCCACAAACUCUCAUUAAGAAAUUUCACUGAGAUUUUUUCUAACAUUUCAUUCCAUUUUUAAAAUAUAGUAGUAGUAUAUUUAGCGAUUUCGUGGUUUAACCAAUUACAAGUUCAGUCUCUAAAAACAACACGGAAAACAAGGGGAAUGUGAAACAUGACAACAAAAUGUAGAAUGUAGUAAAGUUGUUUAUAGUAUUUGUGUUUGUUCAAGUACGAAUUUUUAUGACAUUUUUAUAGAUUUUUAGUUUAGGAAGAAUAUGGAUUGUUUGUAAAUUCUAACUAAGCUGAUUUAUUUAAAGAUAUCUGGAGUUUGAAGGAUUAACAAAUUCUUCAAGUUUUGGAGUGAAAAAAUCUAAAUAGAUUCAAUAUAGUUUCCUUUUUGUAACCAAUAAGGAAAAGACAUGAGUGAUAGAACAUGAGAAAUAAUCAAUUUUAUUCUACUACUAGAUAAAGUGAAACUGUUUAUAUGAAUUUAUUCCAAAAUGAUGCUGAAGAAAAAUAAAGUCGUCUAUUUGCCUUUCCUAAUUAAUUGACUCUUAAAUGGUAUACCUCGAAAUCAUUAUGGGAAAGUAUCAAGAAACAAAAAAAAACAAUUUGGAAAAGAGGUUCAACGAUAUUUACUUGAUACUGACUGAAACAAAUUAUAAUUGUCUGUUAUCUGUCUUAAUUAAAACAGUAAGAAAGUCAUUUUUCGAUAAGAAAAGUCAUUAAAUAAUCCCUUAAAUAAGUCAUGGCUUUGGAACGCAGAGAGAAGCUGAAGGGAAUCUUCCGGAGCUAUCUACUAAAGAAGGAAUGAUAGUAGACAUGAGAGAUGCGGACUCUAUGCAGAAUUGGUCUUUCAAAUACAAGUUAAGUCUCGUUUUCAUCUCUUAUAUGAACUCAAUUAUAUUCACAAAAGCAAUUUAUUAAUCGUUUUAUUUUACCAAUGGGUUAUAACAAUCUUUUAAGCUCACUUUUUGAUGAUUUCAAGUUAGAAUUUUUAUCAAUGUCAAUUUAAUGUCAUACUUAAAAAAGCUUGUAUCACUGUGAACAUAGGUUCUGGUCCAAUAACAAGAGCAGAAUGUAUGUCCUUGAAAACACAGGUAAUUAAGGAGCUACUAUAUUCUUUUUAAAGUAUACUACUUAUUUAAACUAUUUUAUUAUAAUACGUUUUUCCUUUUGUCUUAAAAAUUAAAGGACAAUUUGUGACUGAAAAAAGAGUUGAGAUUGGAGAUUUUUUAACAAUCUACGAGGACGAAAGCAAGAAUCUCGUGAGCUCUCUUAUUAACUCUCUUUUCUUGUUUUAUUUUAAAAAAGACAAAACUCUAAAAUAAACUAAUAAUGAUUGAUUAGCAGUCCGAAAUUGGAAAUUUAAAAAGUGAGCCAUUAAAUUGUGUUUGUUAAGCAUCUAGACAAAAACUUAUUGCCUUUUUGACCUUUUCUGUCGAUGAUAGCUGUCCGUAUAAGGAAGGUACUAUAAGAAUUUCAAACCUUAGUUUUAAUAUACUACUGAAAAUCGAUUCUUUAUUCUUUUCUUUUUUUUGCUAAACUGAAAAUUAAAGACAUGAUAUAUUCUUUCAAAAAAAGAUGUGAAAUAUAUGAGGGUGACUAGUAUUAAUUUAAAUUUUAUGUUUAAUAAAAUGCUUCUUCUAUUUACUCAUAUUUUUAUUCUACUAUUUUGCUAAGUAGGGAGUGAUGUAAUAUGUUUUUCUCUAGAAAAGUUGUUCUUUUUAUCAGCCAAUUUGUUUGGUUUGACUACAUAAACUCUUUGUUGACAAAAAAAAAGCCUACAUAAACUCUUCCAAAUUAACAAACUGUUUUUAGGAUUUGAUUUCAUAUCAGAAAUAAUUUCUUUUAGAAAAAUAUUAUUUUUAUUUAUCUAAAUUUUUUCAAUUUUGAAGAUAAUUUAUUUCUCCAUUAUUUUCGACAAAGUUCAAAUUUAAUAAAAAUAUUUAGUAUACUAUUUUCUAGUUAUCCUCACAAAAUACUUUUUAUUAGCAUAAUAAUAUAAUGUGCAAAAUUUAGUUCAUACGUACUUGAAUUUUAUAACUAAGACAAAUUGUUUUGUAAUUAGAAACCUGUAAAUGACAUAUUGGCAUUUAACUGAGUAGGAGUAGUGUUUUGGUUCAAAAACAUGGAACUUAUUUACUACUCUACAGUUUUUCAUAGGUUAUUUAAUUUUCCUUUGGAUAUUAAAUAAUCUAAUAUUUAUAAUAUUUAAAUCUCCUAACUUUUUCAGUUGUUAAUCAUUUAUAAAUUCAGCCAAUUGCUAAGACACCUUAAAGCAUGAUUAACCUCGGUUUUUUAGCCGGGAUUCUUAACUCAUGAUUUGACAUUUUUUUAUAUAUUUUUUGGUUAAGAAACAGUUUUUUUAUCUCUUAUUUAAGAGACGGUUCUUAGCUAUUCUUAGUUAAAAUCUAAAAAAAGUUAAGAAUCGUCUCUUAUCCAAAAUUAAGAACCCCAGUUAAAAGACUGGAGUUAAUCAUGGUCUUAUAUAUGCAUGUUUUGUUUGUUUGGUCUUACUGCAGUACUUCUCCAUAAGAAAGCACGCAGACAAACCAAAUGAAGGAAGAGAAGAUGAGUCGAUGGAAGCCAACGACAUGAACUUCUACGAAGAUAUUGCGUUUGAUUUCAUACCAAAAGAUGAAGACGAAGAUUCUAUUGCAAUGCUCAUCGGAAAUCUAAAUGAUCACUAUCCCAACCCAAACAAUCGUAUGGACCUCCCAAUCGAUCUUCAUCAGCAUCAUCAAGCCACCUCAUUGCCACCUGCGGAUUACAUGACCAAUCCUCAGUAUGGUGGUUCCUCCAAUGAUCUCAUGAGCUUUAACGACUUCGUAUGGUGAUGCGAUUGAAGUUGAUAUAGCUAUAUAGAAGUGGUAUAAAAAAUUUAAAAAGAAAAGAUUAUCGCUCAUCAUAUUCAUAUCUAUCUAUUGAUAAAGUAUUUUUGUCAAUCUAUUAUUUAUGAAAAAUAAUAUUAGUUACAUAUAUAAGUUUCAUUUGGGUUUUAUAAAGCAUAAGAGAUAAUAGACGAAAAUAUAAUUCAGGAAUUAAAAAAAAAACAAUAUUUGGGUUCAUCCCUAAGAUGAAUGGUUAAAUUUACCUCACUUUUUAUAAUCAACCAAAGUGCCAUGUAAAAUUAAUUAAAAAGACAAUAAUUUUUUAAAAAAAAAUGGCUGAAAAAAUCAGCACUGACAUUAACACCGUCUACAAAACCCGAAAUCUAAAAUCUAAACCUUAAACCUUAAAUCUUAAACUCUAAUUCCUAAACCUAAAAAAACUUUAAACCAUAAACCCUAAAUACUAAAUACUAAACUCUAAACCCAAAAUCUUGAACUCUAAACCCAAAGCUCUAAACCAUAAAUCCUAAACCAUCAAUCCUAAACCUUAAACUCUAAACCAUAAAUCCUAAACCCUAAACCCAAAACUCUAAACUAUAAAUUCGAACCCUGAUCAAGUGAUGGAUUUAGGGUUUAAUUUAGAGUUGUGUUUUUUGGGUUUAGGGUUUAGGAUUUAGGAUUUAGGGUUAGGUUUUUGGGUUUAGGGUUUAAGAUUUUGGGUUUAGAGUUUAGGGUUAAGAGUUUUGGAUUUAGAGUUUAGGAUUUAGAGUUUUGGGUUUAGGAUUUGGGGUUUAAAGUUUAGGUUUUAGGUUUAGGGUUUAGAUUUUUGAUUUUUAAAGUUUCGGGUUUUGCAGACGGCUUUAACGUUGGUGUUAUUUUUCUCAGCCACUUUUUUUUUUAAUUAAUCGUGCAUGACAAUUUGGUUGGUUAGGUGAAUUUAACUAUUCACUAGGCCUGGGCAUUCGGGUCCUCGGGUCGGGUUCGGGUCGGGUCGUCUCGGGUCCGGGUCCUUCAGGUCUUAGAGUUUAGGACCCGAUAGGAUAAUUUGAAAAUUUCGGUUUCGGAUCGGUUCGGGUAAAGGAUAUAGGAACCGGUAAUACCCAAGUAUUUUCGGGUCAUACAACUUUUCGGGUCGGUUCUCGGGUUUUCGGGUCUUUUAAGGAUUUUCGGGUAUUUUUAAUGGUUUACGGGUCGGUUUUCUUCAUUCUCGGUUUGGGUUUGUAAUAUUCGGGUCCAUAAUACCCUAUAUACCUGAGCUUUACCCUAUAUUUCUGUAAAAACCUGAAAUGAAUUGUUAUGUAAAAAAGUUUAAAACGAGCAAUAAGAUUAAUGAUUCUAAUCUUUCUAUGACAAUUUUCAAACUUCAUACUUCAUUAAAAACAACAAAUUCAUAACAAUACCACAACUUAGUAGCAGAAUGACAAUAUAAAGUUUUACCAUAAGAAGUUUUAAACAUGAUGAGUGCAAAUUCAAAAACAAAAACAACAACAACAAACCAACAACAUUCAAUAGUCUCAGUCUCGAACUUUUGACUCUUCUACCAGCAACAUUCAACCUUGAAACACAGGUUCAAAUUCUGUAACAAAAAGAUCAAUGCAACAAGUCAAUACCAAAAUACAAAACAUAAUGCCAUACGAAUUAAAGAGUUUAAAAACCAGAAUUAUACCUCUCAUAAGAUCAUCUUGCUCCUCUAUCAGCUUAAGCAUUUGUUCCUUUCCUUUGAUUCCUUUUUUUUGACUCUAAUCUCGCAUUUGAGCCACUGCUCCGUGCACAUUAGUACUUCAAUCAUAAAAUGCGUCAAACAGCUUCUGCUUGGGUCUAAAAUUCGUCCACUGGUGCUGAAGGCAGAUUCAGAUGCAACUGAACUCACUCAUUGAAGUAGUCGUUGUAGGGCUUGUCCUCAGCUUCCAUCUUCUCAAAAGCCACCUUGAACUUUAAUGCUUGCUCUAGCAUCAAAUUGGUCGCAUUCCACCUAGUUUUCACAUCCAAAGGUAAGCUUCCUCUCUGAAGUCUUCCUGACUCUACAUGUCGCUCAAAAGAAAUCUGCCUCUGAGUUGAAGACCUCACAAAAUAAAUGGCAUUACGAAUGGCAUUGACACUGCUCUCUAUCUCCAGCAAACCCUCUUUAACAAUCAGAUUGAGAAUGUGAGUAGCACACCUAAAAUGCAGAAACUUUCCAUCUAGAACCAAUGCAUCAGCGCCAUUUUUCUCAAUAAAAGCUUCAGAAAACUUUCUCAAUGCAGAAGUAUUAGCUGUGGCAUUAUCUACAGUUAUGCCAUACACCCUUUUGAUAUCCCAUUCCUCUAAGCAAUCAAGAAGUACCUUAUAAUCCAGAAAAAAAAACAAGAAUCAAAAUCGGGUUACAUAACAACAACAUGGACGUUAUCAACUUAAUAAAAAACAGAAACAAGCGAUAAAUUCAGUUUAAAAAAUUCAGUUAAAUCCAAUGAGCAAGAGAUAAAUUCAGUUAAAAAACUCAGUUAAAUCCAUUGAGCAAGAGAUAAAUUCAGCUAAAACAAUUAAAUCCAAUGAGCAAGAGAUAGAUUCAGCUAAAAAAAAUUAUAUCCAAGAAGUACCUUAGAUAUUGUUGAUCCUUUGUGAUCAUACACAUUCUUGAAUCCAAUGAUGAGUUUCCUCAAAUGCCACGAGCUGUCUACAAAAUGUGCCGUAAUGACCAUGUAGCUGGCACCGGUAUGAGGAGCAUUCCAAAUAUCAGUCGUCAGUGACAGCCGUUGAUUGUUCUCCUUCAGAAUCUUCUUCAUUGCCUCUUUCUUUUGCACAAAGGUCUCAACAAUAUCUCGGGUUGCUGUUCUUCUAGAAUGAGGCACGUACAACUUAGUCUUGUUGCAGAAGUUCCUCCAAGCUACGCUCUCCACCCAAGAUAAAGGCAACUCUCCCACAACCAUCAUCUCAUUUGUCUCGUGUCUGAAGACAGAUUCAGAUACUCUGCACACUCUGACGUUACCAUCUUCUUCGACAUCUAAAGCAUCUUGAGUAUUAUCUUUGUUCACAGCUAACCAUGCUUGGUAAGCCUUGCACGCAAGAUUCACAUGUUUCUUCAAGCUUGUUGUUCCUGAUCUUGUUGCACAUGCCAUCUCUUUCCCACAAUAGUUGCAGAUGGCUCUAUCAUUGUCUUCUCUCUUUCUAGUAAAGUGUUCCCAAACCUUUGACGUCCUCUUCUUUUCUGACCUUGAGCCACUGCAGUUUUCGGUUUUCUUUCGUUUUCCUUUGUUACGAGAGAUUGGAGUCUCAAUUUCAUCUUCUGAUAUAUCUACUGGUGGAUCAUCACCACAAGAUGCCAUCUGCAUUAUAGACAAAACAAAAAUCAAACUCGGAUUAUGUAACAACAACAACGACAUGUUCUAAUAAUAAACAGAAGUUACAGAACACAAGACUACAAGAGUCAAGAGAAAUAAACAUUGAGUUUAAUCAAACAUUGAGGUUUAAUCAAACAUUGAAGAUCAAGAUCAGAGGAACAGAAACAGAAGAGAUAAAUACAGUUUAAAAAACUAUAAACAAGAAUCAAGCUUGGGUUUAAUCAACAAGAAUCGAUACCAUAAACAAGAACCAAACUCGGAUUAAAACAAAAGCCAUAAACAAAAUCGAGACUUACCCUGCUUUGAUUUGUAGACAAUGCUGUCGCUGAUGAAGAAGUGGGUAGGGUUAGGGGGUUUCGAAGGAGAACUUGAUUAUGAUGAGAUUCCAGUUUGAUAAUGUUUGUUGAUUUCGGAUUUAUAUGUUGAUAGAUCAAUAAAGUAGCGACUCUUCGAUUCAAUUUUUUUUAGGGGAGUGGAACGAUGUAGGAGGAGGUGUUGCUGCAUCGGGGAAGCCGGGAAGAGAAGAGAUAGAUGUAGGCUGGUUUAGAUAGAUGUAGGCUGGUUUAGGUUUGGUUUAGGGAAUUGAUUCGGGUCUAAAAUUAACCCUAUCGGAUAUAGGGUACGGUUCGGGUAGGGUACUCUACCCGCGGGUCCGUAGUCUCAAGACCCAAUAGGGUAAUAUGGUGUCACCCGAACCGGGUUUUUCGGGUCGGUUCCGGUCCACAUUUUCGGGUCCGGGUAAAAUGCCCAGGCCUACUAUUCACCAUGGGAGUGAGCCUAAGUAUUGUUCAAAAAGAAAUCAGCAAUAGCUGAUCGACUAAGUAAUAGAUAAAUAUUUCCAUUUGCAACAUUUAUAACAAUGUAACUAUGUAUUUAGUUACUAGGUGAUUCGUCCGCGCAUGCAUGCAUAAUCAUUAUAAAAUUAUUUAUUAAUAUCAUUAUUAAUUUAUAGACCAUCAUUAUAAGUUAUUGUUUAUGCUCUCAGAUAGUUUAAAAAAAACAUCACAUUAUUUAUAUAUGAAUAAGUUGUUUAUCAAAAUAUAUAUUCUUAUUAUUGUUUUAAAAAUUUUGCAAUCAUGUAUUAUACAUAUUUUGAAAAGUUCGUUACUGUAUUAAAUUCUUAGAAACUCUCAUGUAUUAUAAAUAUUUUGAUUUUUUCGCAAUUGCUUUAAAUCUUUUUAGAAAUUCUCAUGUAUUAUAAUAUAUUGAAAAAUAUUUGUAUACACUACAUUCAAUUAAACAUUUAAUUAUGCAUCUAUUUAUAUCUUAAUUUAUAUUUUUAUUUAUGAAAAAAUUGGAUAGUAACAAAGUAUAUGUAAGAAUUAUUUUUUAUUUUAAAAAAUAUGUUUCUAUAUUUCAACAAUUUUAACUGUAUUAAUUUAUAAUCAAUUAUCUAACAAAUAAAUAAUUUAGUUGUUCAUUAAAGUUAACCGCUCUAACUUUUACGUGAAAGUUCGGAUCGAAAAAAAUUAUUUUGUAAAUAAUAAAUUUGUCAAAACCGUGUAUAUAUAAUUAAAAAGUGAUUUUCUGAUUAAUUAGAUAAGCACGUCUAAAACUUUGAUCCAAACCCUAACCGAUAUACAGUAUCUAAGCCCAGCCCUUUUGGUCCUAUAAAUAGACUGUACUACUUAACAGACUUUUAACUCUGGAGUAUGAGUCUAAGAACCUAAAACAGAGCCCAGAUAAGUAGCCAUAGCAAUAGUUUAAAAGCAUUUUUUUAUUGCUAUGAGGUAUCAAGGUCGUAAUCCCUCCGAGCUCGAAAACACAACACUUAAUAUAAUAUAUUAGGAUCGGCCUGCGCUACGCGCAUGAUAUGAUUGUCGCGUGGUCUAUAUAUUAUUAUAUAUUGUACAUUUUUAUUGCGCUGCCAAUUGUUGCCAUACAUGAGAUUAUGUGUUCUUUGGAUGUUAGGUUGUUGACUUGUAUUAUUUUUAUAUUUGUUUGGAUAGUAAAAGUGGUUUUGGCUGACCGAAUGAGUAUAAAUAGAACUAAUAACUGAUAGUUGUAACAGAGUAAAUGAAGUUGAACUAAAAACAUAUUGUAAAGUUGAUUGUACAAAAUGGAAUUUGUCAAUGCAUGUAUUUUAUAUUAUUUCGUGGGUUAUUGAAUAUAUCGAAGAAUGUAAUUUUUGUUGUGAAUUUUUCCUGAUUUUGAGGUAAAUAUGGUGUGAACAUGUAGGAAGUUUAUGGUGAACGUAUAAUACUCCCUCCCUUCCAUAAAAAUAUAUUUUUUAGUAUUUUCACACAUAUUAAGAAAACACACUAAAUUACUAUAAUAAAUAUAUUGUUUUCUGUAAUUUUUAAUAAUUUUUAAUCAAUAAUAAUUCAAUAAAGUCAAUUAAUUUUCUUGAAGUUUACAAUUUUUUUAUAGAAAACACAAAAAAUACAUCUUUCUGAAACAAAUUUUUUUCUAAAAAAUCUAUCAUUAAAGAACGGAAGGAGUAAUAUAGUAAAUUUUCUUCAAUGUCAGUUAUAGAUUUCGUAACAAUUGUUGUCGUUUUUUCCUAUUUAUGUUUUUGUGGCGCUUUUUUGCUUAGUUUUAGGGUGCAAUAAUAAUAUGAGGGAAUAGGUUACUGAUCAGUUUAUUUUUCAAGAUGUUGGUUACAUUGAAUUGUUGGCUAAUGAGUAAUAUUUAUUUUUGCAUUUUUUAUUUGUUUAUUUAUUUGGUGAUGUCAAGUAUUGCUAAGCUCACAUUUUUGUGGGUUAGAUAAUGGAAAAUUCUCUCAACUAGACAUUUUUAAGUUUUUGUCACAAAAGUAUACUUAAAAAAAUGACCAAAAUAACCCCAUUUUAUUUUAAAAUUUGUAAUAUUUAUUUUUAAUUUGUAAUAUUUAUUUUUAAUUUUUAAAAAUUUGAAACAAUAUCUCCAAAACCUUACCCCGUAACUCUAAACCCUAAGUCUAGAUUAGUUAAUCAUAGGGUAAAAAUAUAUUUUUAUCAUUUAAUAAAACUUAUUUUGGUCAUUUAUUUUCUUCAUUGAGCAGUAUUUUUGUGACAAAAACUUAAAAAGCGCUAUUCUAGGAAAUUUUUCUUAGAUAAUUGGUUAUUUUAUAUUUCUUAGAUGUGGUUUUUGUCUUUUGAAAUUUUUAUGAAUUACAAAUCUUAUUCUAAAAAUGAAAACAUAACAUUUUUUCAAAUAUUAUACAGAUUAGAUGCAUGGAGAAGAGAUGACGCAAUGUUCGUAGUAGAUUUGGUUGAUUUUGAGGACUGAUUAAAAUAAAAAUAGAACUAACUACAUAAGGUAAAGCAACGUAUGCAUAACCUUUUUUUUUUUUUUGAUAAAACGUAUGCAUAACUUAAACUUAAACAAAGAAGACAUAAACACACACGAAAAGAUUUAGGAAGAAAAAAGGCUUAAUAUCUGAAUGGAGGAUUAAGUUUCAAGAUUUCAAAUUUGUAUUAUUAAUAGUUAAUUAAUGAUAAACAAAUCCAUAUAAAUAUAGGAAAAUUAUUAUUAUAAUUUUAUGUUGAGUGUAUGUAUCCCUUUGACAUCAGUGUUGAUCUGUGUUUACUUCUGCAGGUUAGUCGUGUUUGUAAUUCCUGUGAGUGGGAGGUGUGUGAUAUUGUUAAUUAAUUAUUAUGGUAAGAUGGAAUCUUCGGAUUGUUCUAACUACGGGUUGCUUCAAGGAAAGGGAGGUCCUGGGUAUUGAUAUGCCUGGUCUGGAGGUGUGUGUUAGCUGUGUUGUAGUUAGUGGGCACCUGUAUUUUAAAUUGUUUGUUCUAACUGUUCUGGCAUGCCGACGGUCUAAUUGUACAAAAAUUUAAAUUAUUAGUGCGCACGGUUUAAUUUGUAAUGUUAUGGAUUGUAGUGAAGAGAGUGAUGAUGUAACGGUGACCUUUACGCAAUUGUAUUUUGAUAAUGUGACCAAUUAUAGUAUAGUUUCUAGUAGGUACUCUGAGAGUAUUUGUGGUUGCAUGUUGACAAAACGCACAUCUAAUUUUAUGUGUAGAAUAAAUUUUUAGUGCCUCACUAAAUUUUUUGACCUUGCUGGGUUUAGAGAUGCUCGGCUUGCAUCUGAAGAUGCUAUUUUUUUCCUGAGAUGAAACAUUAAAAAGCAUGUUAAAUCAUAUGUUUUUGAAAUUAUUGACAACACCCAAAUUAUCAUUGUAACGAUGCUCUAACAUUUGAAUAUCAGUACAUUAGCUUGGAUGCCGAUGUUAAAAUGUGUAAAUCGUUGAGAAUGACUUGAGUUAAUUAAAAAGACGGUUCAAACCAAAGUUAAUAGACUUAUAAUGCAACUGGAUUGUAAAUAUUUGGAAUGAAAUGAUGUGGAAUGGUCUAUUCCAUUAAUUUUAUAAAAAAAUUUACCAUUUGACAUGAAUGGAAUGUAAUACUCAUUCCAUCAAUUCCAAAAAUAAAUAGAGAAAAUACAAAGAGAAUCAUUCCAUAACAAAUUUGAUCAUGAAAAAAUGGAAUGAAUUCAAUUCCAUUUUUUGCUGUAUUCCAUUCCUACCAUUCCAUUUAUUUUAAAUUCCACAAAUUCCAUAUAUGUUUACCGGUUACACCCUUAGAAAAAGCAAACACUAACAGUUCCAAAUAAAUUAUUGGAUCCCAAAAUGAAACGUAAAAAGUUAUAAUGGUCUACAUAAAGUGCAUCUGGCCCAUUAUCUCCAUCGAUGGAGUGUAUAUUAUCUCUUUCAUCUGUGCAAUCAAAGAAGUUGAAUGUUGGAAACUGAUGUUUGAAGAAUCAACUCUUUCUUUCUCUGUUCUUGGUUUCUUAGUCUUCCAUUGAUUCUCAUAGUAUAUGAGCUUGAGACUUCCAUUCUCAGAAUCAUACUGAGGAUGGUGAACAAUAAGGACGUGACUUCCUGUAUUGUCUCUGUUUCUCUUCAAAGACUUGGGUUUUGUUAUUGCUCUGUCAUGAUCUCUCUGUUUUCAGUCUUCUGUCGAUAUUGUUGUUGCUGUUUGUCGUUGCUGAUAACAAACAAUUGAGCGAUGAAAGAUCGAUCGAAGUAGCUUUGUCACCAACAUGUUGAAUUUCACCAAUGACUCAAAUUCGUGCACAAAUGAGUUGGUGAGAAGAAGAGCAGAGUUCUUAGCCAUAAGCUUAUUUCAUCCCCAUAUCAAAUCUGAUCCUUGAUGCUCCAUGAUUUUGCUCUCUCGGGUCACUCCAUAGAUAUCUUGCGCGUAAACGGAUUCUAAUCCUUCCAUUGGAUCAAACAAAGCCCUGAGAAAACCAACAACGCCAAUGUGAGAAACAAAGCAAGUUUUCCAUAUAGAAAUGAUCAUUUCAUGGAACUUAUCUCCAUCUAUAUUCAUGUUCAUCUGUCCACAAAAACCAAAUUUUCAGGUUUGAAGUUUUCUUAAGAUGGUUGAACAAAAAAAAAGUCUUCUUAAGAUUAAUCAAUGUCUUGCAAACAUAUAUAUAUAACGUUUGUAGUCAUACAUUAUUUUCAGCCAAGAUAGGAGGGAGUAAUGGUAGGAGAAUCUUCAUUGGCGGACUUGAACUCCUGCGUCUUGAGGUUCAACCCUGGCUUCACCCAUACUUUGGCUUCAUAAAGUGUCUUCUUCCCAACCCCCAAUGAUCUCCAGGGUGAGAUGAUGCAUCGUUUUUUCUACAACUUUUUCUUUCUCGUUCACCACCGCACAAACUUGACCACUGCAUUAUACGAUUUUGAAAAACCAAGAGCCCAAAACAUUACUCAAUGAUAAAAUCACUUCCAAGCCUGGCCAAAGAGAUCUAUAUAAACGUACUCAUCAUCCACCAUAAAUCAAUUCCCAAGAUCUACACUUAUCACACUGAAACACUAAACAUGCGAAGGUAUAACAGUAACUGAAAGCAAGAUGAAUAAUUAGAAAUAACACUAAAUCCCGUUAUAGAUUAAACGGAUAUCAAAGCAGAAACAUGAAUCGAUAACAAAAGCUAUCAUAACAAAUUUUGGUUUUAGUGUAAGAAAAGAAAAAAAUAAAACUUAAAACUAAAAGCUUAAAACAACUCUUCCAGAAACAAUGACCAUGUGCAUAAACUGAAAUAAGUUAAAUCUCUCAGAAACCUAAGAGGAAAAACUGGUGAAUUUUACGGAAGGAAACUCACAUAUUUAUAGGUUGGAUUCACACGAUGCAUUGAUGAGGGCAUGCAUUUAAUCAGACAUCGUGGGAAGAGUGGAGGAUUGGUGUUAAUCUGAGCCUUAAUGGUGAUGCUUGAAUGUGGUCGACUUAUGUAACGGUGCUGGAUUUCGUUGCCAGUGAAACGACUCCAAUCGAUUAGCCACAUGAUUUUGUUUACCGGUUAAAAGAGUUCAAACCGAUUAGUCACACACGGCGUCCUCCAACUGAGUCUGGCCUGAGUUAGGGGCUGUUUGUUUCACCAUUUGUCAUCUCCAUCCAAAUGAUUCAUUUGUAUGAUCCAUUCAGAUUUUUCUGAUUGUUUGUUAAUCCAUCCAGAUAAUUCAUCUAGAUGAAUCAUCUAAAUGAAUCUUAUGUUUGUUUCUUUGUUUUCAUUUCCAUUCAAAUGAGUUUAGUAAACAAAUUACCAAAAUACCCUUGUAUUGUUUUAAUCAUAUGUUUGAUAUUAAUUUUAACUAUAUUACAUUUAAUUAUUUAGUUUAAUAUAUUUACAUUAAAAUUAUUUCAAAAUUAACGAGUUUUUUUUUUGCGGUUUGGACGAAAAAAAAAAGUUUUUUUGGUUUUAGCGAGAAAACACAUUUUUCGGUUUUGGCGGGAAAACAAGAUUUUUGGUUCUGGCGGGAAAACGAGAAACUUGGUUUUGGCGGGAAAAUACAAAUUUUUGGUUUUGGCGAGAAAACAUGUUUUUGCGGUUUUGGCGGAAAGAGACGUUUUUGGCGGGAAAACGCGCUUUUUGCGGUUUUGGAGGAAACACGUUUUUGCGAUUUUCACGGAAAAAUGAAUUUUUUUGGUUUUGGCGAGAAAACGAGAUCUUUCGUUAUUGGCGGGAAAACGCGUUUUUGCGGCUUUGGCGGGAAAACACGUUUUUUCGGUUUUGGCGGAACAACGCAUUAUUACGGUUUUGGUGGAUAACGCACUUUUUGCGGUUUUGGAGGAAACACGUUUUUGCGAUUUUCACGGAAAAACAAAUUUUUUCGGUUUUGGCGAGAAAACGAGAUCUUUCGUUAUUGGCGGGAAAACGCGUUUUUGCGGCUUUGGCGGGAAAACAUGUUUUUGCGGUUUUGGCGGAAAACCGCAUUUUUACAGUUUUGGCGGAAAAACGCAUUUUUGCGGUUUUGGCGGAAAAAAACACGUUUUUGCAGUUUUGGCGGGAAAUGCGUUUUGUAAUUUUGGUGGGAAAACACUCUUUUACAGUUUUGGCACGAAAACACGUUUUUGGCGGGAAAACGUGUUUUUGCGGUUUUGGCGGAGAAACACGUUUUUGGCGGGAAACGCGUUUUUGUGUUUUUUUUUGCGGUUUUCGCGGGAAAACAAGAUUUUUCGGCUUUGUCGGGAAAACGAGAUUUUUCGGUUUUGGCGGGAAAACGAGAUUUUUGAUUUUAGCCGGGAAACACGUUUUUUUGGUUUGGCGGGAAAAUACGUUUUUGCAAUUUUGGCGGGAAAACGUGUUUUUGUGUUUUAGCGGAAAAAUGUGUUUUGGGGUGUUGACGUGAAAACAUGUUUUUUGUGAUUUUUGGCAUGAAAACACGUUUUCUGUUUUUGCGAAAAAACACAUUUUUGCAAUUUUGACAGGAAAAUGCGUUUUUGGGGUUUUGGCGUAAAAAAAUAGUUUUAGGUUUUCGUGGAAAAACAUGUUUUUGUAGUUUUGUUAAUUUUCGUAUGAGACAAAAAUGAUAUUAUGUUUAGGUUUGUAAUUUGUGAAUUAUGUUAUGGACAUAAUAGAUAUUAUAUCAUUUUGAAUGAACUAUUUCCAUUCAAAUGAUCCAAAUUGGUUCAAAACUUUAAAAUUAAUCUUAAAUUUCUAAAUGUCAUUCGAAUGAUCCAUUUGAAUGAGUUGCACUUUUAGUGUCUAAACAAACAAAACUUUCAUUUUCACCCAAAUAAUUCAUCCAGACGAAGAAACAAACGGGUCCUUAGUGGUUCUCCAUGAUACAGUCGGAUGCGUGGAAGAACAUGAGAUGUUAUGCGGCGGCAACGGAGUUUUGGAGAAGAGAGACGUACAUGUGGGUUUCAUACUUUCAUUUAAUCAAUACACAAAGCCUUAUUUACUAAAGCCAAUUUGAAUAAGAUUACCAAAAGUCCAAUAAUGAUCCAUCAAAGAACUGAACGGAAAAGAAAUACCUUUACAAAUGACCGAAGCCCAUUAUUUAAAGGUUAAAUGAAACGCAUAGUAUAAGAAACUAGACACGUGUCGCCCUCUGGUGCAUAGAUUUUCUGAUCUGAAAUCCUAGGUGGCAGCACACUAGAAAUGAAGAAACCGUACGUCAUAUAUAUAGAAGAUUCCACCCGUCCACAAUAAAAUUCCUUUCACAUAGACGAAAAACAUCCAUAAUAAUCGACCGUCGAUUUUGCAUUGUAUCAUUAGGAAGGAAGUUUUUUUUUUUUUUUUUGGUAAAAAUGUUAAGUUUAUUACCAUUUUCAUUUUAGACAGAUUUUACAAAGAUCACAAGAAGCAUUAGGCAACUUUGCUUCCUCUCCCUUCAGUCAAGGCAAUGCUAUGUAUUCUAUGUUGUGCGUGGUUGGGGUCUCCUUCGUUUUUUCAAUACAUGAGAAAAACGUAACCUAUGAUUUUACCCUUAGCCCGACUGAAACACAUAUUCAGUCCACGUAAUUUAACUUCACAAACAUGGAACUUCAUACGAAUUCAGUCCACAAACGUAUUUAAUAUUGCGUUUCAGCAAGCCCUUUCUCAAAAAAUUAUUAUUAUGUUUCAUUAAACUUAUCUUUCAAAACAUUUUUUUUCUAAAAAAUAGAUCCUUUUAAAGCGGAUGGGGUAUAUUUUAUUGUGAUUCAUUAAUAUUUUAUUUAAAAAUCAAUUUAACAAAUUAAUAAUUUGUCAAAUUCUUUUACUGUUGAAACUUAACUGGAUUUAAAAGGACAUUAGGGAAUUCGAAUAAUAGUUAUACUGAACUGAUAAUCCUGAAUUUGGAUCUUAAUAUAUUGAAAUUCUAUGAUAUCUAACCAACUUCUAUAAAAAAUAUGCAAACAUUAUUUUGGUUUAAAAUAAAACAAAAAACAAAAUAUUUAAUACAAUCGAUAAUGCUCUCCAGGAUACGCUCCUGGCUUUGCUCCGACGGAUUGAUUGCAGAAUUUCACGUGAGCUUGUUUCAUCAAUCGGUAGGGACUCAGUUCCAAAAUACUUUCUCUUAAAAGUAUAGAUCUGGAUCAAAUUAAUAUAGCCUUGAAACUUCUAGUAAUAAAAUCCAGUUGACUAAAGUUAAAUAUUAUUUCAUAUGUUUCAUAGCUCUUCGAUGCUCAGUUUAAAAGAUAAGGGAAUAAUAAGGAUUAGAAAAACAGAAGAACAAGUGGGGAUUUUCAAUUUGUUUUAGAGUUUCAAUGAAAAACUAAUAAUAUUUUUUAAUUUAUUUUUCUAUUUGGUUGAAAUGUAGUUAGGUGUAUGGGUAAUAAUGUUUUUCUAAUCAUUAUAGUAUUUGAUAUUAUUUUCUUAAUCUUUUAAACUGAGCAUUGAAAAGCAAUGGAAAAAAUUCCAAAUAGUUAGCACAUACAAAAAUAGAUAAUUCGUAUAUUAAAAAAAACAUAAUUUUAUGUAGAGGUUUGGAUUCCGCCCUUGUAUGUUUCUCAGUUUUAUAAAUCAAAUUCAGAUGGAAAAAUAAUGUAGAGCCGGUAUAACCUUUUAUUAGUAUAUCUUCAUCACAAAUGGAGUAUACUGUUACGUACAUAAAAACAAAAUAUAAGCCCAAAGACCGAACAGCCGAACACCAAAGUAGCCAUAAAUCUUGGAGGAAAACGUGAUGAGUUCACGAUCAUAUUUAUUUUUCAGGCAUAUUUCUACAUUAUCUAUAAAAAGCAAAGAGAAUCAUGCCAACAACAAUUAUGAUUAGUCGACUUUGUAAAUGUGAUGAUACAUAUUCAAGUUAUCCAAUUUAAACAUCUUUAACAAUUAUGGCUAUAAUUAUGUUGUAUCUAUAACGAGAGUCGGAGACGUUAGACCAAAGUAUCCAAAGAUAGGUUUAACUUGAAAAUAACAAUUAUUGAUAGGGGUUCCACCAAUAUCAUUCGAGUCUAUCAUGUUUCCCAUACUUUUGCAGGUAACACGAACAUGUAACGUGACAAAAUUUUGUUUUCCUCAACGGUAACAAUUUAAUUUACCUAUUCUAUUCGUGAAUCGAUUAGACGUUUGAAACUAAAUUAUAUUGGACAUAGAAAAAAAAAACAAAAACAAUACAGACAACCGGCAAAAAAAAGAGUCCAGCGUAAUUUGUUUAGCUGUUUAGAGAAAAACUGUUAUCAUCAAUUAUGAUAGAUUCAAAUUUGAAUAUAGUAUAGCUUGCUGGGGAAUGAAGGACUUUUGUAUUACAUAGUUCUCAAAUGUGUUAUGAGCAUCAGUAGUUAAUUGUAGAUGAGCUGUGUAGGAUGUUUAGGGGAAACGAAAAAGAGUGUAGCUUAAGAGGGUAGCUUUAGACUGAAUUUUUGUGUGUAUAUAUUGCAUCUAAUGGAAAAAAAUUAGAAUUAAUUAUAAACUGUUCUAUAGAAAAACGUAUGAAUUAAGAAUUAGUCAGUGUCAACUUCUUUAUAACAUCAAAGAGCUUUGAUUUCUCUAGAUGGUAAUAAAUUAGUAACAAAUAUAGUGGCAAACUAACAAAAAAUGAACAAAUACUCUUUUGGUUAAAAAAGGAUCCAUGUUUUAAAACAAAAUUUGCUUCAAAAAAAUAUAUUUUACAUUUUAAUUCAAUUUUUAUUAAAUAAUAAUGACAAUUUGUAAGCUCUUUAAAAAUAAUUAUAUUUAUUAAAUUGUGAUUGGCUAAAAGUUGUAGAAAAUAGUUAAUCAUAAAAAAAAAUUAUAAUUAAAACUGCAAGAUGAUUUUGUGUCAAAAAUCUAAAAGAUAUUCUCUUAAUGAGUAUGAUAUAACUAAAAUUGCAGUAGUAUAAUUGAUUUCGAUAGAAUUUCAUUUAUUAAUUAGAAAACUGAAUUAUUUCACGACACUGAGACUUGUCCUAUAAAUACAACAUUUCCUCCUCUUAACUUGUAUCACAAAGCUAAAUACGAAAGAAACAUGGGGUUCUUGGGUAAGAGUAUAUUGUCGAGUCUCCUUGCAAUAUGGUUCUUCACUUCCUGUGCUUUCACUGAAGAAGUGAACCAUGUGAACCAAACGCCUUCCUCUGCUCCUGCUCCAUCUCCUUACCACCACGGCCACCACCACCCACAUCCUCCCCAUCACCACCACCCUCACCCUCACCCACCGGCAAAAGCCCCUGUCAAGCCGCCGGUUUCUCCACCUUCUAAACCUCCGGUUAAGCCUCCAGUUUACCCCCCAACCAAAUCCCCGGUUAAGCCCCCAACUAAACCUCCGGUUAAGCCACCAGUUUCCCCACCAGCAAAACCUCCUGUUAAACCUCCGGUUUACCCUCCGACCAAAGCUCCAGUUAAGCCCCCAGUCAAACCUCCGGUUAAGCCACCAGUUUCACCACCGGCCAAACCUCCAAUAAAGCCACCAGUUUCACCACCGGCCAAACCUCCGGUUAAGCCCCCGGUUUACCCUCCGACCAAAGCCCCUGUUAAGCCCCCGACCAAAGCCCCGGCUAAGCCUCCGGUCUCUCCUCCAGCCAAACCACCAGUAUCCCCUCCAGCUAAGCCACCGGUGAAGCCACCGGUUUACCCGCCAAAAUUCAACAGAAGCC
RNAcentral lists this long non-coding RNA (47385 nucleotides) under Brassica napus (rape). Its description in RNAcentral is "long non-coding RNA (BNAP_LNC007658)". The record is from RNAcentral. Lineage: Eukaryota; Viridiplantae; Streptophyta; Magnoliopsida; Brassicales; Brassicaceae.